UUUUUUUUUGGGUUACCUUUGGUGGUUAGUGAUGAUAGGGACAUGCAUCUACUGAAAUGUUUUGACAUGCUAAUACGUUCUGGCCCUGAACUGUGCAGUACCUGGAUGAGAACAAGCAGCUGAUCCUGGCCAUCCUCGACAACCAGAACAAUGGGAAGGUGGAGGAGUGCGAACGGUGAGUUGCUGAGUAUUGAUCUGAUCUCCUUGCAUGACCGUUAUGGAUGUAGUAGCAGCUAGAAGCUAGCCACUGUGCUGUGGAAACACUUGUGUUAACAUGAACAAGAAUGUCCCUGUCCCCCUUUGUUCAGUAUAAGCAUCAAGCAAGCCUAUUUUGUGGACAGAUAAUGCUCCUUUCGUGAAAGAUGGUACCAUGCUACAUUGUUUCUGGUUUGUCUGCUGUAGCGUAUACAUUGAUUAAUACAUUUGCCAAAUGUUCACGUGAUAAAGCUGUGUAGUACCAACCAUGCACCGGUUUUGUUCAGUCUACUGUUUUUGUGGUCUGUAAUGUCGAUGUCACACAUGACACUUUCUAUAGCUUUUCCGCAACCGAAGGAACUCCUGAUGUUUCAUUCUCAAUCAUCAUUCAAAACAAUACCUUGCAUGCUCAUCUGUUCACUGCUUACUUGUGACAACCGAUCAUAGAGUAGACAGUUUAUAGACAAUCAUGCAUGGUUACGUUGUGCAAUGAGCUAUAGAUAUCUUGUAGCCUGAGUGUUCUCUUGCCUGUGCCACCUGAUGAUGUCAUGCAGGCACCAAGCCAAGCUCCAGCACAACCUCAUGUACCUGGCGGCCAUCGCAGACAGCCAGCCACCACAGACGGCACCGCUGUCACAGGUACUGAUGCUAGUGCUGCUCCUCGGCCUGGCCCUAACACCCAAGCAUUUUCGUUAGUGAAAUCAAAGAUUGCAUCGCUCUCACUUGGUACAUCUGCGAUCUGCAGUACCCGUCCAACCUGAUGAUGCAGCCGGGCCCUCGGUACAUGCCGCCGCAGUCGGGGCAGAUGAUGAGCCCGCAGUCGCUGAUGGCGGCGCGGUCCUCCAUGAUGUACGGGCACCCGUCCCUGUCGCCGCUCCAGCAGCAGCAGGCGGCGCACGGCCAGCUGGGCAUGGCCUCGGGUGGCGGCGGCGGCGGCGGCACGACCAGCGGGUUCAACAUCCUCCACGGCGAGGCCAGCAUGGGCGGCGGUGGUGCGGGUGCCGGCGCCGGCAACAGCAUGAUGAACGCCGGCAUGUUCUCGGGCUUCGGCCGCCCUGGCAGCGGCAGCGGCGCCAAGGAGGGGUCGAGCUCGCUCUCGGUCGACGUCCGGGGCGGCGCCAGCUCCGGCGCGCAGAGCGGGGACGGCGAGUACCUGAAGGCCGGCACCGAGGAGGAAGGCAGUUAAGACGCUGUCGUCGCUGGCACGGGCACCGGCAUAACGGCGGCGGCAGCAGGAUUAGCAGGUAGCUUUGAGGAACGAGGAGGGGUAGUAGUGUAGUAGUGGUAGCACUAGCUAAUAGUAUGUGGUCGGUAAGGUAGGUUUGUUCCAUGGGAACCUGGAGGUGGUAGUGACCAGCACCGCUGCAUGCUGGGUCACUUGUUUUGGAUGUGCGUGGCAGGUUCUCUCCCCAAGAUGGUGAUGUAGUAUGGAACGUUGAUGGUGGCCCUCUUGCGCGAACAACUCUAUGCUGUAUUGAUGGACUUGAUGAUCUUGACCAAAAACUUCACUACUGCCUUAUCUUGUGAUUGUUGUUGGAACGGCUUCAGUUUUGGAACCGCCUGGACACGAAACGCCGCAAUGUUAAAUGGCGUCCAUCUCCCUGUUAGUUUACCCGGAUUUUGUAUCUACACGUAAAUCAAAAUUUCAUCAGUUAGCAUAAUUUCAUCGGUAAUGUAUAUUUGUUCCUUCCAUUUACCCUUGUCUUCGAACCGGCCUCUCUGUAUUCCCUAUUCUAUCUUGGUGACUUAGAGUUAUAAUCAAGAUUUCAUCAGUAGGUUGAAGUUAGCAUAACUCAUGACUUUUAUCACAUCACUCGUGUAGUUCGCACCUAGGGUUUUCCAUUGGUGUGAUCGGGCGUACGGCACACCCAUGAAACUCAAGAAACCUUGUCCCUUGGUUAGAAAUCGAAUGGUUGAAUGGUCUUCUUCUACCUCCCGAUCCUUCUCCGGUGCUCUUUUUUUUUUAUCGCUCACUUUCAUCCCCGUCGCUUCCAGUCAUGUAUGACAGUUCCAACUUCACCGCGCGAAUCAGUUCGUUUUUUUGCCUCCCUACUGGUUCUACGCCUCAGUCGCCUCUACGGUAACAAUAUGCAGAGGACUUGGUGGCACGGAGAACGUCGUGAGUUCAUCAACUGACUAAAGUAUAGGUCGAGUUAAAUAAAAUCUCUUAUAAUUCUUGAUAUUUUGACCUGAGAAGGAGAGUGGAGAAUCAACUCCCCGAAACAGGUAAAUAGGUUCCGCAGCCAUGAAUAAUAAUCAAACAAAUUGGCAGAAACAAAAAAAAAAAACUGUGGCCGUGCCCCUGUUGUUCCGCCAUGGCCCAUGGGCUUCAAGUCUUCAACGGUUCAUCAACCUCUCUAGCAUGGAGAAUUGGAGAAGCCGCCGUCGGGUUUCGCAAUAUUUGCGUCCGGCUCCUUUGGGAAUAUUCAUAAAUCGCGACGCUUCCAUUGCUUUGCAAAUUGGUCCAUCCCCUUCCCCUCCUCCCCUUCGCCCUGCGCCGCCACCGCCCAACUCAGCAAGUCCUCGCGCUCGCGGCAAGUAACGGGAGCGGGAGCGGCCAGGCGCCAAUGGGCAAUGGCCUCCCCCCGGCGAAUGCGCACGACACCAGCGCCGCCCCCCAUCCGCGGGGCGAGGGCGAGCUCGCCGUCAACUUCUUCCCCCAUCAGCCUCUCUUUCCAUCCCUAUAUCGCCCGAACGCCGCUACGCCGAAUCUGCCGUCACCGCGUAGGUCCCAGCAUGCUUCAACAAGGCGUCGGUGAACCUGACCACGCGCGUGGUCGGCGGGCGCAGCGCGUCACGCACGAGCAUGGCGGGGUGCUGCUAUGGACAAAAUAAACGAGGCUCAACCAUCGCCUCAGUCUCCACCGCAGAAGGUUCACGGCGCUGGACUAAAUGAUGAUGAUGCAGGAAACGAACAGAGGCAACAAGCAAGCAAGCUCCGAUGAGCAAACUUGUAAGGUACGCGGUCUUCUCCAUUUGCCGUCCAGGCCCCUAAUAUGUUCAAUGAAAUGUAAAUGUGACUCAGGCCACCUUUUAGAUUCAAUUCCACUGAUGCUUAUGCUGGUGACAAUUGGUGAAAUCUGAUGCGUGUGGAUCACCGCACACCCUAAUUGAAAUCUAGUUACAGACCAUAGCAAAUCAUCAGGUUUCAGGUACCCUGGAGUGUUCUGAAUCUAUCAGUGCUAAUUCCUUUUUUUUUUACUAUGUUCUUCACUCGAUGCCGUCAGAGCAUUUUUCAGAUUGUGCAGCAAACAUUCUUUAUACGUUGAUAAGCUGGAGUUGAGCAAUGAACAGAUUAUAUAGAAUAAAGUGGAAUGAAAUAUAGUUUUACUGCUGUCCCGCUAAAAGAGGCUGACCCUUUCAAUCAAGGAAAACUGAUUAAUUGUUAGUUUUGUUAUGGAAUAAAUUGUUUCGAACUUAAUGGUACCAUUUACAUGGCAUUUGAGCCAACAUAAUUAAUAGUUAAAGAUGUUUGUUCAUAGUACUUUUACAAAUAUAAAGCUACACCUUUUAUGUUUUCCUGCUGUCUUCUUGUCCGAGUUUUUUACAUGUGCACUACCAUGGUAGCUUACGAUAGAUCAUCUGUCCUUAAACAGGUAACCCUGUAUUAUAAAGGGAUUAUAAAUAUGUUUUUAUGGGAAUAAUCAAAAUAGUGUUCCUAUGACACUUGCAGCAGCGCCUUUCUCUAUUAUAUCACAACACUUUGCUGAUAUUACAUUCUUAGUUGCAUGCUGGCUGGUAUUAGAAUGCAAUGUAUUAUUUCCUGUUAUAGAUUGUAUGGACUCAAUGCACACACAAAAAGCUAGACCCUGGAGAAAAACCACCCCCACGACUUUGAUUUAAAAAGAAUCUAAACCAUCACUGGGUCUACAAAAGGUCCCAAAGGCUGCCCACUCAUACUGUGUUCCCUGCGCCUGCAGGUGAAAGUAGUUUGCACAACGGGGGACCUUUUUUUUUAAUGUUCAGACCAGCUGGGAGCGCCACAACCGGCUGCUCUACCACCAUGGUGUAUGCGCGUCGGCUAUGUACUCAAUUAUAUGUAGGAAGUUACCUUAUGUACUCAAUACAGGUGCACAAAUCUGAGGUUUGCAUAAUGCAUGCCAGUGCCACAAGUGACCAGUUUGAUGUGCUUCCUAAGUAAGUUGUUUUUACAAGAAAGAUAAUAUAGUGGUCAUGCCAUGUUUGUAAUUUUCCCUUUAACCUUUUUCUGGUUGCCAUUAUUGUGCUCGUUUGUUUGGAUUUAACUUAUGAUUUUUUUUACUGAGAACAAUUUAAGCUAUGAUAGAAAUGUUUCCAAUAACAGUGAUACCGUAUGUAGUCUUGAGUUAUGGCUACAUUCUAUAGAGACUAACCGCAAUCUGAAGGCAUGAAACCAGUUUUGUUGGUUUAACUAUAAUGUCUGUACGAAUAAAAUGUGUGCAAUCAUGGAUGAGCCUUAGCACUUUGCCCUUCCAUGGGUAAUAUGGCGCAGAAUCGCCGGGCAUUGUUCUUGUCCACAUGAAGAGGCCCAAAGCAUAUGUCAAGGUGGCAGCAAAACCCACCCAACCCACACCACAACUCAAUGUGCCACAGCCGGCCUCCUCACCCCUUGUCCCAUCCUGGACCCUUAGCGGCAAACAUGGGUUGUAGAAUGGGUCGCGACCCCAUAGCCCAUUGAGACGUCAAAACCCUAACUCUCCACCCUCGCAUUGUAUCCGCCACCUUGGCUAGUCUGGACUCGGGAUCUCAGCCGCCGUCACCUCUCGUCGUCCUCCUCCCUCGGUAAGCUCCUGCGUUCCCCAACUCAUAUGUGCCCCUUUACUCUCUGUCGCUUGCUUGAGCUCAUCUCUUUGCGUUAUGAUUUCUUUCCACUUGCAAGUUCGUACAUCUGCGUGGGUUUAGACUAAAUUCCGCUGGAUCCGUCAUAGGGGCGAUGCGUGGGGUUUGUGUCAUAUUUUUUAGGACCGGACCAAUCGGGAAAACAGGAACCAGAACCUCCGCCUGUUCGGUCCGUGUAAAAGACCGUCCCGCAAUCAAACCGUCAGUAAAGCACUUAAACCGGGUUCGACUGGCCGAUUUUUGCCGGCAAUCACUUAAGAAAACUGUCUACGAGCCGCUCUGGUCACUGACAUUCUGCUUGGGGCACACAUGGGCUCAACAGUAUGCGUUUGGUUGGACCCAAAAAAUGCUUGAAAAGGGCAGAGUGGGAGUUGAAUUCGCGACCUGAGGCUUCGGGUUAAGGUCUGCACCAUUGAGCUAUGCACUUGUUGCUAAUUUUAGUACGGAACUUAUCAUAUUUGAACCGUAAUGAACUAUCAGUCUAACCGGUUGAACUAAUCAAACUGUGAGCCAAGGGCUAUGCCGGUUCAAUGUCUGGUCCGGUCUCAAUAACUAUGGUUUAUGUGCAGAACAACCGUAUUUCUAAUUUCAGAAACAGCUUACUCUUUUUAUUGUGAAAUUAUGAUCUGCUUGUCAUGGUGUGAAUACAUUGGUUGGUUUCAUUCUCACUAGUUGGAUUUUAUUUAGCUACCAUUUUAGCCCUUGGAUGGUGUUCUGAUUUUAACAUGCCAUAUCUACCAGAUUUCAGGAGUUAAGCUUCUAGCCUGUCAAGUAUGGCUGAAGAAACCACCAAUUUUCCUCAGGUGGCCCAAGAGGAUGGGAUUGCCUCCAACGAUGAGCCAGUCCAAGGUGAAGAAUUGGCUCAAGGUGAUGAGUUGGUGCAAGGUGAAGAAUUGGCUCAAGGUAAUGAGUUGGUCCAAGGUGAAGAAAUAGCUCAAGGUGAUGAGUUGGUCCAAUAUGAAGAAUUCAUUCAAGGUGAUGAUUUGGUGCAAGGAAAUGAAGCGACGACCCCUCCAUCAAGAACCAGGUGGAGAAGAAAGAAGCCCUUGAAAUGGGAGCACUUCAGUAUUGAAACUGUCGCCGAAGGGGCCACACAAGCAUGCUGCAAGCAAACCUUUGCUUACAGCUCUGGUUCUAAGAUUGCUGGGACUAGCCAUCUCAAGAGGCACAUAACCUUGGGUUCUUGUCCUAAGACAAAGAAUCAAGAGCAGAGGCUGGCACUACCUUCAACAGGAGGGACUGACAAUGAUGGUAAGGGAACUGUGGAGCGUCCAUCCAAGAGACGCUACAGAUAUACUGGCUAUGCAAAUGCUACUUUUGAUGAAGCCCGCAGUUGCUCAUACCUGGCAAGGAUGAUCAUUCAGCAUGACUACCCACUUGACAUUGUUCAACAGCCAGCAUUUGCUGCUUUUAUUGAGAGUCUGCAGCUCCGUUUCAAGAUUAGGGAUGUUGAUACGAUGGAGGGAGAGGUGUAUGCAAUUUAUCAGAAAGAAAAAGAGAACCUGCUGCAAGCAUUCAGUACUAUGCCCGGAAGGAUCAGCCUCACUGUAGGAUUGUGGAGAACUAGCCAGACUCUUGCCUGUGUUUCAGUUGCAGGGCAGUUUAUCGACUCUGAAUGGAAAGUACACCGAAGAAUGCUUAACUUCAUGAUGGUGCCUUCUCCUCAUUCAGAGAAUGCACUUAGUGAAGCAAUUAGCAUGAGCCUUUCUGACUGGAAUAUGAAGGACAAACUAUUCACCAUCACAUUGGAUAGUGAAUGCUGCUCACAUGAUAUCUACAAUGCAGAUCUGAGGGAUCAUCUCUCGAUCAAGAACAAUCUCAUGCUUAAGGAACAGCUAUUUGUUGUGAGGUGCUAUGCUCAUAUCCUUGAUGCUAUCGUACAAGAUGUCAUUGCUUCAAUUCAUGGUGUCAUCUACAAUAUCCGUGAAAGCAUAAAAUUCAUAAAAUCUUCUCCUGCCUGUGAAGAGAAGUUUGCUGAGAUCGCUCUGCAGCUGGAGGUUCCCUGUACCAAGACCCUCUGUCUGGAUGUUACAACUCAGUGGAACACCACUUAUUUGAUGUUGCUGGCUGCAUCGGAUUAUAAGGAUGCUUUCACUACACUUGAGACAUGUGAUGAUAACUACAAUGAAGCUCCUUCAGCAGAGGACUGGAGGAAAGUUGAGGCUGCCUGUAGUUACUUCAAACUGCUAUAUGACUCUGCACUUAACAUCAUGACAGUAGCAAACCCAACUUCAAACCUUUUCUACCAUGAAGCUUGGAAAGUUCAGCUAGAGCUAGCAAAUGGCACAGGACAUGAAGAUCCCAUUUUCAGUAGCAUCGCCAAGGAUAUGCACCAGAGGUUUGACAAGUACUGGAAAGAUUGCAGCCUCGUGCUAGCCAUUGCUGUUGUCAUGGAUGACCCACGUUUCAAGAUGAAGCUUGUUGAGUUCAGUUACUCCAAGAUUUAUGGGGAUGAGAUUGUAAAGCGUGUUAAAGUUGUCAAUGAUGCUCUGCAUGAGCUGUAUAAGGAGUAUGCGGCAAAGCCAAUUCCACUGACCCCAGCCUAUGUUGAGCAAAGUGAAGGGAAUAAUGGGCUAGCCGAUGCUAAGAAAAGUCAAGGAGCUCCUGCUUCCACUACGCUUCUAGAUUUUGAUGUGUACCUUUCUGAGAUCCGAAGUAGCGAGCAGUCAAAAUCUGAAAUGGAACAGUACCUGGAUGAAUCUCUCACCAUGUAAUCUUGAUUUUGAUAUUCUGAACUGGGGGAAGCUUAAUGCGAUCAAGUUUCCAACACUCUCCAAAAUGGCCCGAGAUAUCCUGGCCAUUCCAAUGUCCAUUCUCUGCCGGAACAGGAAGUCGCGUGCUCGAUGACUACAGAAGCUCUCUUCGUCCUCUGGAGGCACUUGUCUGUGCGAAAGACUGGCUCCAAUACUCACCAGCUGCCACCGAGGCACCAAGUGCUACACUGAUCAAGGCUGAAGAAUGAUCACUGCUUCCUUGCUGAAGCAUGAAUAGUAUCCAUUGGAUUGUGAACUGAUCGGAAUCCAUUCCGUUAUUUACUCGUAGAGGUGUAACCUGUUUGUGUCGAACUCUGUUUUACUUGUUGCUAUUGUCAUGUAAUAGCUUUAAUUGGUGUCGUCUGACUUUGCACGCGAUGUGCGUGUGCUAGCUGCGGGAUUUAUCAGCCGGUUGUCUUUGCACUUUGUUUGUUACCCCUGUUUUGCAUUUAAUCUGUUAUGUACUAUGGAUUGAUGCUCAUGUUCGUGUGUAGCUAUAUAAUUUGUCUAAUUUUAGUUUAUGCUCCCUAUCUCUUCUCCGGUGGCGUCAUCAGCUGGUUUUACUGAAUGUCUGAAUGACUCCAGUGUUUGUGUUUAAAAUGCUUGUCCUGAUCUUGAGCCACAGCUUUUAAUCGUGACUACUGCUCUCGGCUGUGUCCUGUGCGGUUGUGAGUGCAAAUGGAAAAGACUGUUUUUCUACCUGUGUCUGUGUGUUUGAAAUACUAGUCUUGGCAUGAUGGCUCCAUGCCUCCAUGCGUCCAUGAGUUCACUCGUACAGUGCUAUUUUCUCAAGCCUGAUCUUGAGUCACACUCACACAGGUGUACUCUGCCAUUCUCUGUGCGCUUACAUACGGUACUCUGCCCUUGUUCUGAACAGGUAUGCUUGUGCAAACACCAAACACCAACCAACUACCAGACGAUCAAGGCCUCACGAACUGGGCGGCGAUUCGUUCUCGACCUCGGCAGAUGGUUCCUUUGCGAGCUCCGCACGUCGGCGACGGAUCGAUCCGGAACAUGAUCUUGAGCUGCCUCGCCGCUCACGCGCGAUGUGAUCGGCGAGUUUUUUUUAGGCCAUCGUUCCUACCCAGACAUCAGUCCUAGUUUAGGCCUGCUAGUGGGGCGGGUUGAAAUGGGUUUUAUGGGGCGGGUUGUGACGUAAGGUGUGUUUGAAUGGGUUAAAAUGGGCUUUAGUAUCUAAUGGGUUGGGGCGGGUUGGGUAUAUCAGAAAUGCGGGUUGGGACGGGUUGAAAGUGAUUUUUUGUUUGAAUUUGUAUGAAUUUAACUCAUAGGUUUAACUUUCACGUUUCGGCUCUUGACGUGGGGCCAUGAUAUAAGUCCAGCCGCACUACUUUGCACAAAGUAGCGGACUGUCAAACUAAUUCAUUUGCAACAAAUUUUGAUCAAUUUCUCCAAGAUUUUAAGGUGUGAACGCGAGAUUUUAAUUUUAGGGUCCGACUCUUGACGCGGGGCUCACAUAUAAGUCCAGCCGCACUACUUUGCACAGAGUAGCGGACUGUCAAACUAAUUCAUUUGCAACAAAUUUCGGUCAAUUUCUUCAAAAUUUUAAGGUGUGAACGUGAGGUUUUUAUUUUAACGUCCGACUCUUGACGCGGGGCCCACAUAUAAGUUCACCCGCACUACUUUGCACAAAGUAGCGGAGUGUCAAACUAAUUCACUUGCAACAAAUUUCGAUCAAUUUCUCCAAAAUUUUAAGGUGUGAACGUGAGGUUUUAAUUUUAGGGUCCGACUCUUGACGCGGGCCCCACAUAUAAGUCCAGUCGCACUGCUUUGCACAAAGUAGCGGAUUGUCAAACUAAUUCAUCUGCAACAAAUUUCGGUCAAUUUUUCCAAAAUUUUAAAGUGUGAACAUGAUGUUUGUAUAAAUUUAUAGGUUCAUGUACAAAACCCACGGGUUAUAUCAAUUUGUGGGACGGGUUGGGUUGGGUUUACAUUAUAGAAUUAUGGAGCGGGUGGGGUAGGUAAAUAAGUUAAUUUAUCGCGGGUUGGGGUGGGUUUGGGGCGGGUUUGAACCCAUUAGCACGCCUAUCCUAGUUAACGCUUCCUCUAUUUUCAAUCUUUGUGCGGCUUCCUUCGUGGAUCACGACGGUGCCGCACGGCUCCGUCCGCUUCCACACGUCUUCUAGUAUAUCGCGGUAAGAAAAAAGUUCAUUUCCUAACAUACAUCAUCAUAUCGUCACGUCGUGUCGUGCAUCGCUUUUGAAAAACGUUUUGAGUCCUAACAUACAUUAUCGUUUCACCUUCUCCGUCCAACUUGCAAACAGUAUUAUAACCCAGAGACGUCCAUUUGCCAUCUUCUAUAAGUAGCUUGCUCUUCCUCGUUCAGUCUCGCGCCAGUUCAUUUCGGUCAGCUACACUACAACCUACAGAGCCUUACCUCUAGUUGUGCGUGCCAUGGCGUCCGCCGCGCCAAGGAUGGUGGUCGUCGCCGCCAUUGGCGUCCUGCUCCUGCUAUGCCUCAGCCCGCAGCUGACGGCGGCGGCCCGUGCUUCGUCGGCGCACGACGACGUGCUCCAGUUCGAGACCCAGGAACCCCUGCUGCGCGAGGUCACCAGCCACGACCUGGCUAAGCCGCUUGGGAGUUGGGCCGUGGCCCCCUGCUCACCUCGGUGCGAAGCGUGCAAAGCUGUCUGUGUGAGCGAUUGCAGAGGCGAUUCCAAGGGAUAUUGCUUUGAGCAAUGCUUGUUCAACGACAGGUGCUACUCGUAUGGAUUCUGAGCCUGGCGAUUGAUCGUGGAGUGACUGCUCUUGGCUCGGCUGUGUGACCUGUGAGCGUGAGGUGUGUUGUUGUUCCAUGUAAUAAGAUGUCCUGCCAAGCUUGCCUCCCAGACUCGGUUUAGGCAGUCGGACGACAAUGGGUAGUGCCUCUUGUCAUUAACGUAAUGAUUAUGUUGUCCCUUUUUUUAGUGCGAUGUGAAUAUGUGAUAACCAUGGAUCGUAACUUGUAUACUGCACAUUGAUAAUCUGUAAUGCUCUUGUCCAUCUAAGGUCUUACUAAUCCUGUGAGCCGGCGCGCAGUGAGCUACCAAAUUUUCUCGUUUUCUUUUCACCGCCUUCCUUCCUUCUGUUAUUUUCUCUCUCUCUCUUUUUGUUUACCUUUUCCUUUAUUCUUUUCCCCUUCGAUCUUAUCCUCCUUUUAUUCCUUCCUCCCUUUUUUUGAAAAUUGAUGCACACAAUUUUGCCCUACAUCCACUAUUCUUCCAUGGUUUUUUUUAAAAAAGGAGAAGAGUUCUAGACAUGUUUGUUUUGAAGAGUAUGUUUGGAGAAAUUUUUUUAAAAAUAUUUGAAAUUUUUACUAUGAAAAGAUAUCUAAGAAAAAAGUUCUUGCAAUCUCCUAGAAGUUAUAUUGAAAAGUUCUUCUAUAAUAUUACCUGAGAUGCAAUACAUAUCGUGUUCAGCAAAAUGGGUCGCAGAGUUUCAGGAAUUGUAGGAUAUUUUUGCAAGAGUGCCAUCUACAAAGAAUCUGUCCUUUUCUCGACGUGAAUGAGAAGAAUUCAACUCGCGAAAACACCCCCAAAACACAGCCCGAAACAGAAAAAAAGAAGACCCCACGGGGCGCGUCUGGGCUGCUCUUUCCCUACCUCCCUCCAGAAACACGGAGUCCGACAUGUAUGGAUCUGACGGUCCGGAUGAAAACCCUAGAAACCAACAGCUCCAGGCCCAACCCAAGACGGCAUCGAAAUCCAACAACGCCGUGUUGCGGCCGCCAUCCAAACAAAAUCUGCGUAAACAAACAAACAAGCCCCCGGAAACUCCUCACGAGAUGAGAAACCGCCCAAAAAAAGCAAGGACCCAGCCGGUCCACGCGGGGAGGCCCCCACCUGGCCCACCGGCAGCGUCACCCAUCGCGCCAACCGCCAGCUCACGAGGCCCAUCGCCGUGGGCCGCGAGCCCAAUAAAUCCCCGCACCCGCAGAUACACUGCGCCCGCAGCCACCAGCCCCCUCCCGUCUCUCUCUACCUUCUCUCUCUUCCCGUCCUCUUCCCAAGAGGAUCUAGGGUUUGUGCGUUCGGCCUUCGUCCUUCUUGGGCCGAGCCCUAAUCCUGCUGCACCGCCACCACCAAGCCGAGCCCCCGGCCGGGUUGUUGUUGGAUUGGAUCGUCUCCGCUGCGCCCUCUGCGUCCUCUCCCCGUACGUAAGCCCCCAAACUCCAAACCCUUCCUCUCCUCCUCCUCCUCCUCCUCCCGCUUAUUCUAUCGUCUGCUAAAUCCGUGCUGCGCGUAGCUUCUUCGGUUGGAUUGGUUUCGUGGUUUAGAUCCGGUUUGCCGUUCGAGCUCGGUUCGUUGGAUCUGUAUGGGAGCGCAAGCGCUUCGCCGAGGAGGGCGGUUAGAAUAGACGGUUCAUUUUGCUGCGAAUUUUUGCGGAGGUUUUUCUUUUUCGGUGGGUUCUUCACUGGCACUUCAGAUUAUGUGCGUUAUUGUGGGUAGAUUUUUCUGUUUCGGCUGGUUCUCCAGUGCUCUGCCUGGAGCUUCAGAUUAUGUGCGUUAUUGUGAGGUGAUUUUUCUGUUUCGGUGGGUUCUUCAGUGGUCUGGCUGGCACUUCAGAUUAUGUAGAUUAUGUUGGGGAUUUUGUUAGUAUAUUUCAUUAGUUUGUUACUAAUAAGUUGAGAGGCGUGUUUUGAGGCGUCCAUAUUGUGGGGCUAUUGGCUAUUACUGUUUCCCUCACGCCAGAGAAUCAGGGGGUGCGGCUCAGAGCUCUCCAUGUAGCAAUAAUCUUGUCCGAAUUCAGCAGGUUUCAGUUUUCCAAUGAAAUUAAAGUUUUGGCAUGGCUUAAAUUGGUGUGGAGUAGUAGGACUUGGUUGUCUUCUUUGGAGAAUCCAUAGUAAACAUUUUGGCUUUGUUGUUAGUGAAACAGUAGCCCACCUGGGUGUCAAGUGUUGUUCACAUAUAGGCGGAAUACUUAGUGCUAGUACAUGUUACCAAGUGCUUGAUCUUUCUGCAGAAUCGAUAGGUAUUACGUAGAGCUGCUGGAGCUAAUGAUUUUAUGCAUACAUCAUUUUUGUUAAUCUUGUGCUGAGCCAAGGGUAGUGAUGUUUGGAUAGUUGAGAUGAUUUUGGAGCCCAGUAGUCCUGCUAGGUUCGAUGCCUGUAACUAGGAAGUUGCAGCAACCACAGCUGGUUUCUGCUAUGCAAAGGAUGAGCAUAGUUGUGUUUCUGCACAAAUGCUGUGUUACUAGUAGCAUUUUAUUCUUUCGCUAUGUGUGCAGUCCCUUGUGGUUCUACUGAAGGAAGGGCCUGCCCUUAGAAUUUGUAUUUAUUGUUCUGUUACAACUUACAGCUCUUCAGCAUUUUUAAUUGUGCAUUCAGCACUUGCUUUCCCUGUUUGGUGACACUGAUCCACUUUUCUAUUGUAUUGCCCAUACAUGUAAAAACAUAGCCUUCACUGUUUGCAUCUAUCUAAUGUUGAUCGUAUUAUAAUUUCUGUACUUUUGGAUGCUGUCCUGAUUGAAAGGUUGUUAUUAUAUCAUCUAGUAUUAAAUAAUGCAAUCCUCAUAGCUUUUGGAGAAAAGCUUGCAUUCUGGUGGUCUCUGAAUCUCGACUUCAAAUUUAUUCUUUGGAACUGCUGCCAUAAACAAUCAGAUCUAUUCAUUAAUGAAACUGUGUAAGAUAUCUGCUGUCUGCCUACUUUAUCGUAACAUCUUUGACGGUUUAUCUAUGAGAUUUUAUUUUUAUGGAGUUUGUUUUGUUUUGUGAAAUGGUAAAGUGAUUUGAUGUGACUGAACACCUAACGUGAUUUUUUAUUUCAAAUUGACAGGCUUCCUUGGGUUCCAUUGGCCUGUAUCCCUCAACAUGGGUGAACCGAACAGCAAUGACAAUGCAAUGGUGCAUGACAGUGAGAUGGUUGAUGGCAACGGGGUGAUCAAUGGCAAUGAGAUGGUUCAUGGUAGUGAGAUGAUUCAUGGUAAUGAGAUGGUCAAUGGCGACGAGAUGAUCCAUGGCGAUGAGAUGAUUCAAGGGACUGAGAUGGUUCAAGGUAGUGAGAUGAUCCAUGGGAAUGAGAUGGUUCAAGUUAAUGAUCUCAUCCAUGGUAAUGAGAUGGUACAAGUUCAUGACAUGGUCAAUGGUGAUGAUAUGGCCCAUGGUAAUGAAUUGAUCAAUGCUGAGAUGACCCCACACACCACAUCAAGACGUCGGAGGAAGAAGUCGCUAGUCUGGGAGCACUUCACUAUAGAAAACAUGCCAGGGGGAAGCUCAAGAGCAUGCUGCAAUUUAUGCAAGCAAACCUUUGCGUAUAGUUCUGGUUCAAAAAUUGCAGGCACUAGCCAUCUCAAGAGGCACAUCACCCUCGGUUCCUGUCCUGUUAUGAAAGACCAAGACAGGAAGCUAGCACUGCCACCACCAGGAGGCCCUGGCACUGAUAAUGAUGGUGAGGGUACUGUAGAACGCCCUUUGAAGAGGCGCUACAGAUACACUGGUUAUGCAAAUGCUACUUUUGAUCAGGAAAGGAGCUUCUCUUAUCUGGCUAAGAUGAUUAUUUUGCAUGACUACCCGCUUCACAUUGUUCAACAGUCAGCCUUUACUACUUUUAUUGAGAGUCUGCAGCCCCGUUUCAAGGGUGUAGAUGUUGAAACAAUGGAGGGAGAGGUUUAUGCUGUUUUUCAGAAAGCAAAGGAAAACCUGUUGCAAGCAUUCAACACUAUGCCAGGAAGGAUCAGCCUCACUAUAGGCCUGUGGACAACCAGUCAGACUCUAGGCUAUGUUUCGCUUGCUGGGCAGUUUAUCGACUCAGAAUGGAAAGUACACCGAAGAAUGCUCAACUUCAUGAUGGUGUCUUCUCCUCAUUCAGAGAAUGCACUUAGUGAAGCUAUUAGCUCAAGCCUUUUAGAGUGGAAUAUGAAGGACAGGCUAUUCACUAUCACUUUGGAUAAUGAUUGCUCUUCCCAUGAUAUUUACAGUGCAAAUCUGAGGGAUCACCUCUCCAAUAAGAACAACCUCAUGCUUAAGGGACAGCUGUUUGUUGUGAGGUGCUAUGCACAUAUCCUGAAUGUAGUUGCUCAGGAUGUUAUUGCUUCGAUUCACGGUGUGAUUUACAACAUCCGUGAGAGUAUCAAGUUCAUAAAAGCUUCUCCAAGCCGUGAGGAGAGGUUUGCAGAGAUUGCUCUGCAGCUGGAGAUUCCCAGUACCAAGACCCUCUGUCUAGAUGUUACAACCCAGUGGAACACCACUUAUCUGAUGCUGCUGGCUGCCUUGGACUAUAAGCAGGCUUUUGCGACACUAGAGACAUUUGAUGAUAAUUACAAUGAAGCUCCUUCAGCAGAGGAUUGGAAGAAAGUUGAGGCUACCUGUAAUUUCCUGAAACUGAUAUAUGACUCUGCACAUAGCAUCAUGGCUGCAGCAAACCCUACUGCAAACAUCUUUUUCCAUGAAGCUUGGAAAAUUCAGCUAGAGCUAGCAAAUGGUACAGGACACGAAGAUCCCAUUUUCAGCAGCAUUGCCAAGGAUAUGCAUGAGAGGUUUGACAAAUACUGGAAAGAUUGCAGCCUGGUGUUAGCCGUUGCUGUUGUCAUGGAUCCACGUUUCAAGAUGAAGCUUGUUGAGUUCAGUUACUCUAAAAUUUAUGGUGCUGAGGCUGGGAAAUAUGUCAAGGUGGUCAAUGACUCUCUGCGUGAGCUGUACAAGGAGUAUGUGGCACAGCCACUCCCAUUGACCCCCACCUAUGUUGAACAAGGGGAAGCUAAUAAUGUGGCUGCCAAUGCGAAUGCUACUCAAGGAAAUCCUCCUUCCACUACUGAUGGUCUUCUUGACUUUGAUAUGUAUCUUUCUGAGAUUCAAAGUAGCCAGCCUGCGAAAUGUGAACUGGAGCAGUACCUGGAGGAAUCCCUCACUCCACGUAUCCAGGAGUUUGACAUCCUUAACUGGUGGAAACUUAACACGCUCAAGUUUCCAACUCUAUCGAAGAUGGCCCGGGAUAUCUUGGCCAUCCCCAUGUCAAUGGUUAGCAGUGGCAGCUCAAUAUUCUCUGCUGGAACCGGGAACCGCAUGCUUGAUGACUACAGAAGCUCCCUUCGUCCGGAGACUGUGGAGGCACUUGUCUGCGCAAAAGACUGGCUCCAGUAUGCACCAGAUCAAACUGAGGCGUCAGGUUCUGUGAUGGUCAAGUCAGAAGCAUCGUAGGUUCACUGUUGGGAGCUUCCAUGUUGGAGCAGGAAUAAGUUUGUGGUAUCAAUGAGUGUAGUUAACUGUAGGCAUAUUUUAGGCAGCGAUUGCAGAAACAUUGUGAUCUAUUAUGCUAUUUAUCUCCUAGUGGUGUAAUUUUUCGUGUCGAACUCAGUUUAACUCAUCGAAGUGUUCUUUAAUGUAUUGAGUUUAGCUGGUCUGUCUGCGGGAUGCAUAAUGUGGUAACUUAAUACAGUUAUAGCAGAUUUUUGCUAUUCUUGGCGCUGCCGUUCUUUUCUUGUCCUUUUCUUACUCUAUUGUUUACUGCACCGUCUAACAGUGGUUUGGUUAGUAUAAAAAAAACAGUGGUUUGGUUUUUUUUGCUAAUUAACCAUUAAAGCAAAUAGGUAUGUACUUAGUUUGCCUUGGCAAAGUGCUGUAGCAUCAACAUAGCCUCUGUUUUGUACGCAAUCCGCUAUGUACCGUGGAACGAUAUCCAUCUGAACCUGCAGCUGUAAAAGUUGCCUGACUAUUUUUAUCGGUGAUGUCACAUUGAUCUCCCAUCAGAGUUCAAUCGAAAUCAUCAAGGAUUACCACCUGCAGUGUUCCUCUUCUACACUUGGUGGCCGGCAUCAACGGGCUCCAAAGAUGCCGGUGCUAGGUUGUUGCUGCAUCCAGCUGACUAAAAGGAAGGCUUGGCACUUGACACAGUAGUCACACAGAUGAUCCUGAGGAUCCACAAUGUACUAGUCUAUUGUUGAUGCUUCGUAAUUCAAAGGGUGUUGAUCUUUCAAAAAACAAAUCAAAGGGGGCGCAUUCCUCCAGAGAAUACCACCGAAAAAGGGCACUCGAAACAGGAUCCGAUAAACUGCCACAAUUUUUUUUCAGUCAAAGGGCACUCGAAACAGGAUCCGAUAAACUGCCACAAUUUUUGUUCAGACUGAAAGGCCUCAUCCCUGCCUCAGUAUAGAAAAUAAGACUGUUCAAAUUUACAGCUCAUUUGAUUGUAGCAAACACGCUUAAUAUUCUGGUAACCCUCAGCUUGCCAAACCAGAGUAGUGCUGAUUUUUUUCUGACACGGCACAGUUACUACUUACUUGCAUGAACAAGACACCAGAACUCAGACUUUGACACCACACAGUACUCCAGAGCCAGGAACUUGCCAAAACAUACUCGAGGUCCUCUUAUCAUUUUAUUCCACAGGACAAAAUUAAACUCCCAAUGCUUUUUCUUCCUUCUGCCUAAAAUCUUAAACUGUCACCAAUGGCUUGCAUAACAGCACAAACAACACAAUUUUAAGAAACACACAGCCAACAAAGUGCACACAUGACAGCAUAAAUUUAAACAUGGAAUUAAAAAAUAUCACAGAAAGAAGAUCAACGACAAAAAUUAUUAGAAUGCAAGAAUGCUGUAUAUCAAAGGAACGCUGAAUGGUAAUAAGAAAACAAUGUGGUUCUUUACUGCCUGGUGGAAUUCACCAAGGAAGAGAAUCCAUCAGAAGACAAGUAAGCUGAAAGCCUCAAUGUUUGCUCCCAGAUAAAGCAAAAAACAUCAAUUAUCAUGACCUUAGUUCAUCUUAUUAAUUUAAGACUUGGUUUCAUGGUGCAAACAAGACACUGGGCCAGCUUCUCUAGCCUAUUCAGUGGACUUGACAAUGAAGUUCUGGCGGCUGAUGGGGUUCAUGAUGACCGGUGGUCCAGCGGUGCGAGGCCAGGCCUGGAACUUGGCGUCUGUGGCUUUCAACCACUCCUUGUCAGAAACAGUCUUGGGAAUGCUACCUAUUUCCAAAAAAUACGGAGCAGGUUAGACGAAAACUUGCAAGAAGUUAGGCACAGGCAUCCUACAGGAACAUCGGCAAGACGAGAGAGGUGACACUAACCACCAAAUGCCUUCUUGUCGGAAACAAAUGUGUCACACAGGUAUGCAAUGGCGAAGGACCCAACCAGCGAGCCAACAAUGUAUCCAGCCGUCAUUGUCUCUGCACAAGAAUGAAUUGAGGUACAAAUUAUCAAAAAGAUGCUACAAAAACCAUUUGUGUGACUCAAGGCAGGCCUGAACCUAGUCCGUCGCAAAACUAUGCAAGUCAUUGCCCAAUCAAACUAUUGGUUGGGCAUGCUUCCUUAUGACACUGACACAUGAACCAGGAGGCAGAUAAACAGAGCAAACUCCAAGCCAACAAUACUGAACGCAAACUUUGUGCCUCAUGCACAUGUAAAGAGAUAAAAUAUCUGUUUUUUCCCAGAAAAAAUCACCAGCUACACAAUGGUACACGAAGUGCUAAAUCCAAAAUGUAUCCUCACCAGAAGUGCCACUCAACAGGCUUCUAGCUAAAAAAACUCGAAGGCUUUAACGUGACAGAAACAUAUACACAGUGUAAUCUCAGCCGAUGGUUAUCAUAAUCUUAUUAGUUCUGUUUGAAUAUAUGACACCCCAAUUGCAUAUUUUGGGGUGAAUGGAAUUGAUCCGUCAUGUAAGAAGGCGUAUGGACAUAUGAACCUGUAGUUCUGAUAGAGGUAUAACGGUGGCCAAUGUAUCCUGAUUGUUUAUCAACAGCAAACGGAAAUGAUCAAACACUCGAAAAUCAAAGAUUGAACCCAACAAACGCGUCCACAAUAUUCCCCUUAGCACCGAAUGAAUCCGCGAUGAAGGUGUUCUGCGGAACACAGCGAACAGCUAGGGCCUCCCCACUCCUCAGCUAGGAAAACGAAAAGAAAUCAACACAAGUUCGGAUCUAUUGCCUCUCCAAUCGGUUCCAGGGAGGGUGAAGACAACGAGGUGAGGGCGCCCAGGAGGGAGGUGGUACGGUUUGAGGCGGAAGGAAGGAUACCUGGAUCUGGAUCGACGCGGUGCUCGGCGCGGACGGAGGCAGCGAGGGGGAGAUCCUGCAAAAGUUGGGGGGACGAGAACGAAUCUGGUGACCUUUGAACGGGUGUGCGAGGAGGAUCGCAGGAGAAAAAAAUGGAGGCGGAACUAGUUCGGAAGAGGGUGCGGACGGGUCAGGUCAGUUUCUGGGCUUCAUAGAGUGGCAAUUGCGUGUAAUUUCACGAGCUAUCUCUAGUUUUUUUUAGGUUAUUUAUUCAUCGACAGAGUUACCAGAGUUAUAAAUGUCCCGAGGCGGAUUUAAAACCAAAUUUAGCUACCAAACUCAGCAUAAAUCGCACUCCUUGCAAUGUUGUGAGCAUCCAUAUUGGAGCACUUAUUUCAUGAAUAAAAUCAACAUUGUCAAACUGCGUUGCUGUAGCCUUUAUCUCCCUGUGAUAUGGUCAUGAGCGGUCAUUUCUCCCUCCUUGAUUCCUCUUAUCACAUUAACAUUGUCCGAUGCUAGCCUGAAGUGUUGAAUCAUGAGAUCACUCACCAACGCCAAGCCUUCCCUGCACGUAUUAACCUCGACGGUCUCUGCAUCCGAGAGUCCACGAAUCACCAGCGUAGACGCUCCUCGAAAGUUUCCUGCAGCGUCCCUAGCCAUGGCAGCCACCACUGUCUUGCUUGAAUUUUUCGCAGUGGCUGCAUCGAUAUUGAUUUUAACAUGGCCUAGUGGUGGGGAAUCCACCGAGGUCGGACACCUUGGGUACGUCUCAUUGACGCUGCCUGCACCAUCUUGAUCAUCUCCAAAUCAGUUAUAAAAUUGUUUACAAAACAGUGAGUAGAUGAAAGACUUUGAAAAGAGCUCUCGUAGAUCGCCUUCCCGCGAGCAUACCAGAUGGCCCACCAUCCUCAUCAGAUCCUCCUGCUUUAGCGAGCUGAUAAUAACCGCUAACCAUCCCCUAGACUUAGUCUCGUGAGUUUCACUCAUCAGCGGUGUAAUUUCCUCGCGUUCCAGAGCCCACAUACAUUUCGUCAUAUUGCACUCUAUCAAUAAGUACUUCCCAGAAUCAGGCAUACCACAGAUCGAACAGGUGCUUCGAGUAGCUAUAUUCCUAUAAUAACGUCACCUGACAGCAAGAACUCCACAUGCUACCUUGACCUGCCAUCCAUUUUCCUCGGAGCAAUAUUCUCUAUACGCUGUACGAGCUGUCUCUAGUAAAGAGUGUACGGACCAACUUAAUCAUUAGCAAAUUCGGCCCGGAGCAUCCUGGGCUAAAAAUACAGGUUUGGCAAGGCCCAGUACGCCAGGCACGGGGCCUGGCGUCGCGCCAUGAGCCCAAACGAAACUGGGCUUGACCAGACACAAACUCAAAUGCCAGUCCAACCCCAUCCGUCUAUCCCAGUUCCCAGAGAGCUCUCCCGAAGCGUCUCGUUUUCCUGAUACGUCCAGAUAGGCGACUUCGAGGCGAUUUUCUUCCCCACCGCCGGAUUCUCUGGCUUUCCUCGCCCCCGGUGGCUGGGCGCCGGUGAGCUUGGAGAGUUGGGAAUCCAGUGGGUGGUGUACGUAUCCUCUUCUAAUAGUGCAUAUCUGGGUAGGUUAGAGUUGGAUUACUUCCCGGUGAGGAUCUCGCCGGAAAUGUUUUGUUUCUUCCCGAGCUUCUCCGAUGUCAACUAUGUUGACGGUUGGCGGGUUCCGGUGGUGGUCUGUGGGCGAGAGGAGCUCAGCAACAGUAUCAUCUGCAGGAGGUUUGGCAUCGACGAUUUUUCCUUCGUUCUCUUCAUUUGCGUGUUCUCUUACUGGUGGCGUGUUCACCGGGAUUUUGUCCCUCCAAGGAGUUUUCCCUUGGAGGUUAAGACUCCACUUGCUCCUGUAUGCGGGCUGGUGUUCUUGGAUCCCCUUUGUGGGAUUGUUGCUUUUUGGCUGGAGUUUGCCAGUGAUGCAACUGAUAUCUGUUUCCGAUAAAAAUGGGGUUUGCCUAGGGCGUUCAACGGAUGAAAAUUUGAAGACUUUUCGUCGAAUAGGGAAUCGGCCGGAAGCUUUAUUCUAGGUCAUCUUCUUCAUUGCGGGAGAUGGAGGAGGACCAGGUUGAAGCAGCGAUGGUCGGCGACGGUAACGGGCACUGGAUGCUCCUGUAAUGGACUUAUGUGUCAUUUUAUCUUUUUUUCAGGGGUACCCGGUCAGGAACUUGGUUGUAAGAGUACUGUAUCAAUAAAAAUCCAACUCUUUUUUUAAAAAAAAGAUAAACUCAAACGUGAUCAAAACAAUCGGACUACUCGGUUGUGCAGCUGCAGCCAGCCGCAAGUAGCACAACCAAAUAGGCUCAAUGUGAAGUUUGUUCAUUGUAUACGAAUGAACCAAUAGUCGUAAGUGAUCUAUAAUCGCAUUUUUCCUUUAAAAAAUAAUCGCAUUUUCCCCACAUUUCAUGGCAUGGAUGAAGCACGAAAACUUACUUGCCGAUCCCUCCGGCGAUUCGGCCGAGGUGCACGGCAGCACGGGCGGUGCCGGCGUGCCGCGGCGUCCCAACUCCGCAGUCCCCACUCCACAAGUCCACAGCAACCGACUCGCGUCCGCCAAGCUCGUCGAGACUUCGCAACAAAAACAGUGCCGAUCGGAUCUUCCAGUGACAGGAAGAUCGCAUCCACGAGGCGACGAUAUCGAUCACUGACACGAACCAACAACCCCCCGGAUCUCGCCAGGUUCGCCGCGCGCCACUUGCGAGAUCGCCCGAUCAAUGGAUCCAUCGGACGAACGGCCUCGCCCGCGCCAUCACGCCGUGGCGGUCGGCACCAAGUACAAAGAAGCGCCGCGAGCGGGCAGGCGUCGCCAUCUGCCGGUGCCGGGGGCUCAGCUCUCUUCUUUAACUCGCUUACCGACAACACUUCGAGCAAGCUCGCGCGCGCACUCACUCUCAUUCACUGAGCCAUUACUCAGCUCACCUACUCCAGAUCUCAUGGUGCCCUCGCGCUGCAGCCGCCACCACCGCCUCCUCCCCACGACCAUGGCCGCAGCGUGCUUCCUCCUCCUCCUCGCGCUCUACGCCGCGCCGGCGCCGGCCCACGGCGCGCGCGCCCUGACGCGGGGCGGCGCGGGCGCGGUCACCAAGGCGGCGCAGCAGGGCGGGACCAGCAGCAACGCGACAGCAGCGGCGGCGGCGAACGAGUACCUGGCGCCGCACAACCAGGCGCGCGCGGCGGUGGGCGUGGCCCCGCUGCGGUGGAGCGGGGACCUGGCGUCGGCCGCGGCGGCGGUGGUGGUGCGGCAGCAGCGGCAGGGCGGGUGCGCGUUCGCGGACAUGGGCGGCAGCCCCUACGGCGCGAACCAGGGGUGGGCGAGCUACCGCGCGGCGCCCGGCGAGGUGGUGGCGUCGUGGGUGGCGACGGGCCAGUACUACACCCACGCGAACAACACGUGCGCGCCGGGGCGGCAGUGCGGCACCUACACGCAGGUGGUGUGGCGCCGCACCGCCGAGGUCGGCUGCGCGCAGGCCACCUGCGCCACCGGCGCCACGCUCACCGUCUGCCUCUACAACCCGCACGGCAACGUGCAGGGACAGAGCCCCUACUAGAUGUGCGAGCUCGGUGGGGGGCGACCGGCUGAUCGAUCGGGUUGGUGCUCCCUCCUGCUGAGCCGCCGACGCCGAUGCCACCGGCGCUGGAGCGCGAUGCGGCAUGGUUAGAGUAAGAGACGCCUACUACGUAGCUCUAGUAUUUUCAGGUUCGGUCACGGUUUGCUUCGUGUUUGUGGUGUGUGAUCCGGUGGUGUUCUUGGUGUUAAGAACUGCUUUGGUGUGGCGUGUUAACUUGAGUUGCCGGGGAAACGCUUGUGAUGUGAUGCUUUCUUGUUCCUUGUGUCGAUCGGCGUUAGACUCGCUGUGCUGCGUAGAAAUGGCUGCACAAUCAGGCUCUGUUUGAUCACCCAUGGGCUGCAGAGUUGGAGCAGGGGAUUUCCAUAUGAAUCGGGGCUGGCAAUCAAACAGAUGUGCGGCAGAUCAAACUGCAUGCUUGUUACUACAAUUUUUUUGCUUAGUGACUGGGGCAACCGACACACUGGCAAAAGCGAAUUGAUCGUCCCCUUUCUUUUAGAGGACCGUCAAUUGCUGGCGUUUCUUUAGUGGUGCAGGCGCUACUAUAUUGUUAAACCCACAGUUUUGGCAAAUCCGUAAUGCCUGCCAGUCUGUUUUGCUCACACCAAAAAAGAAUGGUCAAGAACACAGAAAUGAAGCACGGCAGACUAGGACCGGUCCCAGUUCGCCAUCGUCGGCGCGCCACAUGCUGCCGGCUUGAGAUCCCUCAAACCUCACCGAACGAUGGAGAGCGGCCAGCGGUGAGUAUCACCUCGCGAGUCGCGCCAGCAAUGGAGCUCCGUGGUUGGCGUGUUCCCCAAACGAGGGCGCCGUGGCUACAAACGCUGGGCCGCUCGUCACAUGGCUAAUGGCUUGGUGACUUGGCACGGGCACGAACGGCACACACAACUGAGACAAGGCAGCACGCGCCCACGGGCACCGUGGCAUCGAUUUGUGAUUGUGAUCGGUCGACACUAAGCAUCUACGCCAGGCCAGUACUAUAUAUCCUCCAUGACAUUCCGCGAAUAAAAUCACAAGCGUGUGCGGCUGGACGUACGGUAGGAAGACGCACGAAUGCCCGACACCCCGACUGACCCUACUCCAUGCUGCUAACCGAAGUCUCGCUACACUGGCCACCGAUCUCCGCGGCCUUUUUGGUCCCACCUUUUCUAACCUCGCUGGUGCCUCCUCGCUGCUCCACCCGCCAUCCCUCUAAGCCCUAGUAACCAAGCUCUGAACCCGAACCUGCUAACCCAAACUCAAGUGGCGGACGGUGGUAGAAGUGGCGACAAAGGAAGAACGCACGCGGAUGAGGAAGAAAAAUUAGGGAGGAGAUAAGUGGGGCCCACUGACCAAGGAGGAGGGGGGGGGGGGGGAUUUAAUAUUUCUGUUCUCGUAGAGUUUCAUGCUCAGUCUUUAUGUUCACCAAUGGUUUUCUUAAAAAUGAAUUCUAAAAAAUAUUUUUAUUAAAAAAUAAGGAUUUUCCUAAAAAAGAGGAUACCAUUGUCGGUGCUCGUAGCAGCACGCAGCCAUGCACGAUCCAAGUGACACUACACGCUCGCCAUCAGCCAUCUCUAGGCUCCCGACCAUCAUCACACCGGAAAUGCUCGCAUCCAUAUAUCCGCAUAUCGUUGGCAGAUCAACCUCGGACCACUCCCUCCCCCCUUUUUGUUCUGUAAUUUUUACAAUAUUGGUCACAUAUCCUCAAAUUUUAUUUUAUGUGCAAAUUUUUUCCACGAGUUUGAUUUGCUCCCAGGUGUGUAAAGUUUUGUUCCUCAUGUAUAAUUGUUUUUACUAUUUUCAAAAUAUUUAGUAUUUUUCUUAUGAAGCUGGAAUAUUUUUCUUAUAAAGGUGACCAUUUUAUUGUGAAGCAUCAUUAUUCUUAUUAUUAUGGGCUAAUUUCCUUGUAAAGUCGAGCAAUUUUUCUCAUCGCUUGGAACAAUUUUCUCAUGAAGCUAAAGCAUUCUCUCUAGCAUUUCUAGAAAAAAAAUAUCACUUUUAGUUCGAACAUUUUUAUUCUAUAAACCUUUUCUCGUGAACCUGGAACAUUGCUCUGCUCAAUAAAAAAAAUUCGUUGAAAAAUGUCAAAUAUACUCAUGGAGUUCUUGGUUUAUUGCUCUUAUUGUAAGAUAAGAAAUAUAACGAUUCAAUCGGGAUUUGAAAAAUAUAACGCAAACAUGCUGCCAGAAUCUGGAAACCCGUUGCCAUGAUCCGAUGCACCGUCGCGGUCUACCAUGCAUCCGCUAGAAUGGCAUGCAAGAAUUUGUUGCAUCCAACUAGGGUCUUGUUUAGUUCCCAAUUCGGGAGUGGUCAAAUUGGCAUUUUGCCAUAAAUGCGUAACUGUAGCGUUUCGUUUGUAUUUGUGAAUUAUUGUCCAAAUAUUGACUAAUUAGGCUCAAAAGAUUCAUCUCGUAAAGUACAACAAAACUGUGCAAUUAGUUUUUGAUUUUGUCUACAUUUAGUACUCCAUGCAUGUACUGCAAAUUUGAUGUGAUGGGGAAUCUUCUUUUUGCAUAGUGUCAAAGUUGGGAGUUUGGAGGGACUAAACAUGGCCUAGGUACGUAGUAUGGAUUGGAUUGGAGAGGAUUACGAAGGAGUUUGUUAACGCCGGCCGGAUCAGCUCCUCGGUGUGCAUGCAAGAGGGAUCCCAACUAACUCGUGCGUCAAACACCGAAAACCCCCUCGUUCCUCGUCACAUAUAUACGUCUGUUUCGCGCCACGUCCCCGGAACGCGCGCGGGCGUGCAGCUGCACCAUGCCGCCGGCGGUCGUGCCAGUGGAGGACGGCGGCGGCGCCGCCACCGCGGACGAGGCGACGUACUACAGCUGCCACGUCGCGUGGCUCGCGUGGUGGAACAACGUCCGCUGCGCCCUCGCCUCCACGUUCCUCCCGUGCCCGCCGGCGGCGCCGACGUCCGCCACCGUCCGCGGCACGCUCUUCCUUCCCUCCGCGGGCGACCGCCGCGUCCGCCUCUUCCUCCAGGAGCACGGGGACGCCACAGAACAUCCAGUGGACGACGGCGGCGAGCACUUCCUCGUGCUCGACCUGCCGCCCGGCCUCGGCGGCGCGGACAUCGCGGCGGCGGGCAGGAUCGUGCUCGAGUACCAGCGCCAGUGGGCGCCCCACGCCGCGGCCCCCGGCGGCGGCGCGCUCCUCGCCUCGCCCAAGUGGCUGGUGUACUGCAAUGGCCGCCGCGCCGGGUACGCGGCGAGGCGGGAGGGGCCCUCGGACGCCGAGGGGUGGGUGCUGGAGAAGCUGCGGGCCGUCACCGCCGGCGCCGGCCGGCUGCCCGGCGGAGGGGUGGAGUACCUGCGCGGGAGGUUCGAGAGGAUCGUCGGCUCGCCCGACGCGGAGUCGUUCCACCUCCUGGAGCCGAUCGGGUGGCCCGAAUUGAAGGGCGGCGGCGGCGGCGUUGACGGCGACGGUGGCCUUAGUAUCUUCUUCCAUCGGAUUUGAUCGAGGUGUAAGCAUUUCGUGUUAGUGGCCGCUACUGGUGUUGCGCGUGUACAAAUCCCCAAGUCCCAAACAAAUUAAAAUGGCAGCUAGUAUUAGUUUAGACUCUGCUCGAUCGUCUUAUAAACCAAAUCCAUUUCUUUGAGACUUGGUCUAUUUAAAUUUUGAUGAUGAACUUCCCAAAACAGAUGACCAGAUUUAGGUCUUGUUUAGUUGCCAAAGUUUGGAGGUGCUAAAUUACUGUUACAGCACUGUAGCACACUGUAGCGUUUCGUUUGUAUUUAUGAAUUAUUGUCCAAACAUUGACUAAUUAGGCUCAAAAGAUUCGUCUCGCAAAAUACAACAAAACUGUGCAAUUAGUUUUUAAUUUCGUCUAUAUUUAGUACUCCAUGCAUGUACCGCCAGUUUGAUGUGAUGGAGAAUCUUCUUUUUGCAUAGUGCUAAAGUUGGGAGUUGGGGUGAACUAAACAAGGGCUUAACAACUCUCCUUUUCAGAAUAGGGAGCGAGUAUUUUCUGGACAUCCUCAGGGUGGUGCCCCGUUCCAAAUUGUAGGUGGUUUUAACUUUUAUAGGUGCAUAGAUAUUAUGCACGUACAGUAUCUGCCACAUGUGUUUGUGUACAGACAAUAUAUGAUGGUGGUGGAAUCACGUGGUGUGCGGCAUGCACACAUAGCAUGAUAUUCUCUUGAGAAAAAAAUAUAUUUAGAUGCAUAAUAAUAUUAAUAAAUCUAAAAAAUCUAAAACGAUCUAUAAUUUAGAACGGAUGGAGUAAAAAGCAACAUGGUUCUAUUUUUAAAACCACGUGAAGCGAGAGUGUUGUCAAUGCUUCCUGUUUGUAACUUUGUAUGCAGAUGAUAAGAGUGUAUUCGAUCUGGUGAUUUACUCGAGCAUUUUGAGGAAAAAUUGGGGGCUGACAAGACCACGUAAAAAUACUUGGGUGAGAAAAAAAUAUAUCAGGUGCAUAUUCUUGAUAAGACACGGCAUAUUUUGAGUGCGACAUGACACUUCAAAUCAACCUGAUUUGUCAUUCUGUCGAAUACACCUACCGAAUCCAGAUAGCUAUGCACAUUGCAGUCAGGCUUGAGGCUGGAGAUAUAGGGGCUAUUGUGCCAUUGUGAAUACACAGUGAUGCAAUCAUGCAACCACGCGCUAGAUUGUAAGUAUUGCUGGACCCUUUUUUCUUUUUCUUUUUAUUUUCUCUCUGUCUUUUUGGCAAAAUGAGUUCUAUGUAGCGUGUACAAGCUAGCACUACCAAAACUAGCUUCCUCUUCUCUUCCAAUAGCACAUUCUAUAUAUAUUCACAACCUUUUAAAAAAACUACUGUAAAAGCUAACAAAUUCAAUCAGCAACUUCUGAUCAUUUAAUUUUGGAAUUUGAAAAAGGAUAGGGAUUUUUGAGAAUGAAUGCAUACGUGAGCUUCAAAAUUAUUCAUUUGAACUUUCAACUGCAUUGCUAUUGAGAACUCUGAAUUUAUUAGGAGAGGUAAAAAUGAUGAAGUUGGUGUUCAAAUAUAAUAUUCAUGAGGUUAGAACACUUAAGGCUUUCAAGCCGAAGCAAUGCUGCUAGCACUACGAUUUUAUCUAUAAGUGCCACACCAUUGCAUUUUUUUUUCAUUCCCUGCUCCAUCAUCCUAAAUCAAUUAGCAAGACAACAUUGGCGGGAACAUGCUUAGAUUGCUGUUGAUGAUGCAUACGAAGGGUUCAGCCCCAUGAUCUGUCUUAUUCUCUUCUUUUGUCGAGUGAGCUAGACUUGAAUCGCAUCAAGUGCUGCUUUCAAAUAGAGUGAGCAUCAUAAUUUGCACUACUCAAGCACCAGUAAGACCCUCAAGAGACAGUCAUAUAGGACAAUAUACCAUCUAAUCAAUUCUCCUAUUAAAAUUGUUAGAGAUGAUAGAAUAAGGAUGUUGUAUAUUGGUAACAAGUCUAUAAACCGUGUGACUAGAAGCACUCCCCACGCCCAUGUUCGAGCCCCUUUAUAAUCUAAUUCAGGUGCUUUUUAGUCUUAGUAGUGCAAAAAUUACUAAGUUUUUGUAAGGUUUAUUAUUACUUUGUUUGUUGUAUAAGAUAAAAAUUAUUAUGCACAUAUAUACAAAAUUUAUAUUUCUUUAUUUAAUGUUCUAUAGAUAUUUAGAUCAACAUAUAUGAUGAGUGUUGUAAAGUUUGCAGUAUUAUCCUUUUUUUUUGUAGUCCUCUAUUUUCAAAUACAUGUCACAAUUUGAUGACUUUAUUCGUCUGGAAAGACUUCACAACUCUCAAGAUAUGCUUUCUCAAAAUACAUUUACAAGUUUAACCAUAUACUAUCCAUAUGUGCCCAAAAUAUUUUUGAAUUAAAAAAAAUGUUAUCCAUUUUCAACAAGUAGUGACUUGUUUCUUUGUACGUUGCUCAUACUGUUCUCUGUGUUAAGUAGUUUUUUUCUAGAAAUAUUGAACAAUACUUUACAUUUUUUGUGGGGCCGGUCAUUGUCUAAAAUAUCACCAACUUAUUUAGACCGGAUGAAGUUUGGGAAUGAGAUCUAGACUGCUUAGGCCAUGCCAAGCUUUGGCCCUUGUGCCUUCUGAAGCAUUCACCACAUUUUGUCACAACUAUGACAUACAAGCUGGUUGAUGUUCGGAAAUGUUUGGUUUCGAUUCACAUCUUGGAGGCAGUAGUGCACAUAGUACUAGUAGUGUGUUAGGUUGGGCAACCAACUUCACCAUUUAUGAACACAAUUGAGCAGCAAGAGACUUUGUGUAAAAGUCAACUUUUUUUUACUAUCAUCUGCUUAGUCAUAUAUAGCCUAGAAUCGUUUCCUACCCCUUACAAAUUGUUGGGCUUUCACUUGAUGAGGUCCACACAUCUAGACAUGUAGCUGGAGUUGUGGCGAUGCUUGACCUCUUGGACAACAAGUUAUGAAUGGUUUUGGCACUAUUUUUCGACUCCAUAAAUUUGACUAACUAUGCAAUAAUGCUUGACAAAACAAGUCCUGCUGAGAACCAAACAUGUUUGAUGGGUAUAUGUCGAUGUUUGAACCCGACAACCUACCGAGGGGGUGCUUAAGAUAGUAUUUUGGUUAGUGGGGCUCGUUGAGAUUAGGAACUAUAAACGCACACACACGUUUAGAAAGGUUUGGGUGUGUUCAGACAGGUUCGGGCUGCCAGAGUAGCGUAAUACCCUACGUCCUGUUUGAGGUGUUGUAUAUUGCGUCCUGCGCUUGGGUGUUAUUUGGUGUUGAGAAUUUGGUCCUCUGUUGUGGUUCUAUGAGUUCUUUGCCUACCGAUCUAGGGACCCCUGCCCUCCUUUAUAUACUCCAGGGGGCAAGAUUACUAGUCGGUUACAAGGAGUCCUAGUAGGAUUACAGGAUAUGAGUCCUAGUAGGAUUAUAGGGGAAUCCUAGUAGGAGUCCAUCUUCUUCCUUCCGUGCGGGUAUUGGGGAUCUAUCCUUGACAAGCCCCCGAGUGCUUCAUAGUCGAAUGCAACAGUCUUCGAGUACUUUUCAGAUCCUCACCGAGUAGUUUAAUGCUUCUCGAGUACUUUGUCUGGCUGAAUCUUCAAAGUUCUUCAAAGCUGCCAUGAGGCUAUGGUGUGCUCAAGUCCUUGAUCGUCUUAAUUUAAUCUUCAUCUUUGGAAUGUGAUAUGGAGAGCAGCGGAAGUCGCAUUCCAAGGCUCGGGGGCUGAGGGUCAAUAAAAUCUUGAAUCUUUCUUUCUUCAUCUUGAAAAAAAUCAACUGUUGGGUAUAGCUUAUCAGCCCCGGAGUCUUGGAAUGAUUAAAUAAUCAAUCCAAGGGUGUUUAGUCUUCACUCAAGUCGUCUUUCGAGUAGUUAUUUGACAUCCAACUCCCGAGCUUAUGCGCCAGGUGAGCCGUAGAAGCCACAUUGAGUAGUUAUUUGGCGCUUAGCCCCCGAGCUUGGAAACUAGCUGAGUCAUUGGAGAUGUUAUGAGUAGUAAUCGGUGCUUAGCCCCCGAGCCUGGGAGCUAGCAGAGCCAUUGGAGGUACGCUGAGCGUCCUGGAGAGUCGUCAUCGAAUCUUGACCUGAAAAAGAGAUGCAUAUAUUAUUUAACAUAUUUGUAGAAUUUUGAAACUAUUGAAAUUUAUUCAGUGAUGAAUGUAAUAUAAAUGUUAUGUGUCAUGCUCUUGUUUCGGUCAUAUUUUUUUUCGAAUAGUUAGCCUUUUACGUUUAGGCUCUCAGUCCCUGUUUAGCCAUUGCCACUGCAUGUGAGAUCUUUAUCUCGUGUACGCGUACUGGCACUGCUGCUAUGAAGAUCUUUGUCUCGCGUCCUAGCGUUUAGUCAUGACAGAAGAUUUGAGGCUUUUACGAAUUAAGGCGUGUUCUGCUCGUGUAGAUUAACAACCCCUAAGAGAAGACACUGAAAAUAAGUAGUCAGCAUUGCGACAAAAAAACUUGCGAGAUUGCGCGUAAAGUAGUCAUUAAAACAUUUCUAUCUUUAGGCGUGGAGAGCGUGUGUUGCCGCGCAUAGGAUUCGUGCCUCACUAGGGUGUAGCCGCUGUGAGCCUCCAAUACUUAGUGCACCAAACUUUGUGGCAGUGCCUUCUAAUUCGGUGUACCAAGCCUGUGGCGGAGCUUCCAAAACUCAGUGCACCAAACCUGUGGUGAUAGCCUCCAUAAUUCGGUGUACCAAGCCCAUGGCUGUCAGUCAACAUGCCCCAAGAAUAGUCGGCAAAGUGUAUCUCUGGAGGGUAAUUACCGUCGAGAGGCGUACAUAAAUAAGUACUUGGCAUGUUGCCUUGCAUGUGGAAAACAAGCCGGAAAAAUUAUAUAAAAUAAUUAAAAAAGUGACUUAGCUUGAUUUGUGGAUGAUUGUCGAUGAAGCCGUGUCGAUUGUUGAUGAAGCCAACUAGUCAGAGUCAAUUCCGACUAAUUGUUGAUCAUGUGGAACCCGCCCUCGACUAAUUUUCUAGUCAAGACGAGUAGUCGAAGUAGACCGUCCUCAACUAGUUUUCUAGUCGAGACGAGUAGUCGAAGUAGUCGUCGGUGACUUGAUGCGGUUGGACGUCGGGGUAGCAGUGCUCGCGUACAUCUUCUAUGUACGUUAGGCUAUGAUUUUGAGGUCUUGUGGUAGCCUUCCAUGUGCGUGUAGUAGAAAUCCCUCAAAAUUGCUUUUCACGAAGAGUAGUUGGAGCUGAUUAUUUACUACAAUCCGUGCGUGACUGUAACAGAUCUUUGUCAUCUUGGGAAUUAUGGCAUGGGUCCUCGUGCGUGACUGUAACAGAUCUUUGUCAUCUUGGGAAUUAUGGCAUGGGUCCCUCGGUCUGCCUGAUCUCCCAACUCGAAUCGGAUUUGCCUAUGCCUUGAUCGACGAGCCGUAUGCAGCAGCCUGCGAUAGAAACCGACUCGAUCUUCGACUAGAACACGGAGCGCAUCGAUUCUGUCUCGGCGUAGAUUUGUCUGCUUGGAACUCCGACUCGGCGACUUGCUUCUUGUUGAGUAGAUUGAUCUUGAUGAUGAUGUCCUUCAAGUUUGCUGGAUGAUCUCGACGAUCACCCCUAUCUAGCGCGCCAGAUGUUGGUACUUUAUACUCGCAACCUACCGAGGGUAUUGCGAGGUAGUAGAUUGGUUGGUGGGGGAUUGCCGGAUCUGAAACUUGAUGGUAAAAGCGAGGAUACAAGACAGAUUUAUACAGGUUCGGGCCACCAAAGUAGCGUAAUACCCUACGUCCUGUUUGUGGUGUUGUAUAUUACGCCCCGCGCUUGGGUAUUGUUUGGUGUUGAGAAUUUGGUCCUCUGUUGUGGUUCUAUGAGGUCUUGGCCUACCGAUCUAGGAACCCCUGUCCUCUUUUAUAUAUUCCAGGGGUGGAAUUACUAGUCAGUUACAAGAAGUCCUAGUAUGAUUACAGGAUAUGAGUCCUAAUAGGAUUAUAUAUGAAUUCUAGUAGGAGUUCAUCUCUUUCUUCGUUACGGAUACUGGGAUCUAUCCCGACAAUACAUAUGAGGGCUGAUGUGCCGUUUGAUUUUAGUCAUCUGUCAACAGUCUCAAUACAGGAGGUUGAGCCUCUUGUCGUCUCAAUGUAACGAGAGGCAUGAACAUAAUGCAUAAACCAUUCACGUGACAAACAAACCGGCAAUUAUGAGGAUCGUGCAAGCACACCAAACUUUGUAAAACAAUGUGUGAAACCAAUAGAAGGAUGUGUUCAGCAGUAUGGACGAUUGUGUUUGCAUUUAGUUACACGACCAAAGACUUGAAAAAUUUAAGGCAAAUUGAAUACUAAUCCAAAUAAGUUUUUUUCUUAACAUGGCAACCAGUACAAAGUUAACUUUUUAGCAUCAGUGCCGCACUGGGGUACAUACUCUACUUCUAUACCAACAUCUGCUGCUCUACAAAUCCCCAUGUCAAAAGUAUUUUCCGUUAUGCGCUAUGGAUAUGAAACUGGUUUGUUGUAGAGAUAUAGUUUGAUUUGCACAUGUGGAUUUUAAUUACUUAUUACUGAAGAAAGCGAAACGGUAGUUCGAUAUGCACUAGUUCAAUUUACCAUGUGCACAUCAUCAUCUCAAGAACUCCGGGCAAAAUUUAUUUAAGAAAAAUGCAACUCGUACUUUGAUAUAACCCAUCAUGUGUCAUCUUGACUCGUCACACUCUUACAUAAAUAAAUAGCAAAAGAUAACCAUCACUCGAAAACCAUAGGUCGUCAACUACUGCCAGCUAUACUCAUAAGUUGACCUGAUAUUGCCAGCAACAGCAACAAUAUCUCUCCUUACUACUGUACAUCACAAAGGACUUGAUGCAACAGCAAAACCAAAAUUUAGAAAAAAUUGCGCAAAAAUUCCAUACCUUGAGAAAGUAGUUGGAGUAGUACGCAUAAACUGUAGUAGGCUUAGGAAGUUUGUGAUAUUGGCACGGCUCAAUCAGAUCAAAGGAAGACACCACCACCUCAUCACAAGGGCAAAGAUCACCCGAUUUGAUUGAACCAUGCCAACAUCGCACGCUCCCAGCCAACCCUUGCUCCUAGCCGAGCUGACCUUCUUCUUGCUCCUCUGCAGCCAAGCUCCCAACGCAAGCUCAAGAGAGAACCUGCUGGCUACUGGCAACGGAACAAGGCAAUAGCAAGGCAGCAAGCUGCUGAAUUAAUAGGCGCGCGGCGGCAACGACGACGAUACCAAUGGACGUAUACGUAAGCCGAGAAGAAAAAAUAAACUAAAGCAAAAUAUAACGAAAUGGUUGGGACGUCGAUGUCUCGCUCUCGCCGAGCCUCAUGAAGAAAAUGAAGAAACCACGCAUCGCACGGACGGAAAAUAUAAACACAAAUUGCAGCAGCAGGCCAAGCCAAAGGGCAAAGGCGUAAGGAAGAGAGGUAGGCAUGGCCCGACCAGCCAAUGACUUGCCUUGCCGAUGCGUCUUUCCUCGGGGUAGUGGUUGAUGACUUGCGGCAGCCAGCGAGCUACCGUCUCCGCCCAGCAGCCCACCCCCCUCUGCCGGCCUGUAUUCAUGCGCUCCACCUGCCUGGCCGGCCGGCAGGACGGGAGCACGCACCAGAAGGCCAUUUUUUUCAGCGGGAUAACCUGCCUCCCGCGGUGAUUUCCGUCUGAACUCCCGUUGGCCGGCCGGCCGCGGCGGAUUGACCGCUUCUUGCAUCGGAACAGUACAGGCCGGUUUUGGUCAGGAGUUAGGCUGGCUUUGCUUGCGUCGUCAGCUGAUUACGUGUGCUAAUGUGUUGCUUGUGAAGCGUGAUUUGUCAGGUCAGUUGGGGCCUUGGGGGAGACAGUAGUACAGCAACGCGAGCAUGAGUGCAACGGUGUUGAUGACCUGUACCUUGAAAAAGUAUUGGUAUCUAGAGCUGGAGAUAGCUUAAACUAUGGUGGCGCCUUUCUAACCACCCGUUGGCGGCUCUUAUUUGAUCAGGACAUGGAUUGUGCACCUUCCACAUCUAUAUCCACCUGAAAAGUUCAGUGAACUUUAAUGUAGUUUGAUCUCUGAAUACUCGUAACAAAUGGUUUGAUCCAUGAACACUAAAUAUGGUAAUUGCAAAUUCACACGGCUGGAAAAGCGCCUUCGGAAUCGGAUCCUAACCCCCCUUACUACCGGUUGUGCAACUGGCAUUGCUACUUUGGUACUAAAGGGGGCCUUUAGUACCGGAUCAAAUAACCGUUACUAAAGGGAGCCUUUAGUACCGGUUAUUUAUACCAACCGGUACUAAAUUCUUUUUUCUUUUCUAUUUAUUUUCUUAUUUUCUUUUCUGUUUCUUUAUUUUAUAUUAGUAUUUCGUAUUUGUUUCCUUUACCACGGCGGUAGCGGCACUGGAAAGCACGACGGCUCAAAGAUGAACAGGAAAAAGGAGGGAGGGGGACAAAAUAGAUCUGCUAAAAAGAACGUAACCCUAAUCAUAAGCGGGCCCGCCGCGUUAUAUCCCCAUCACCUCCGGAUUCCAAGCGGCAAUUAAGCAACGGUCAGAUAUAAAUCAGAUUUAUUACCAUAAUAUCCAACAGCUACUCAAAUCAAGAGGUUUGACCACUUCAUCGACCACGGAAAAUCACCUAAAGUGCUCGGGGGCUGCGGAUACCGUACCCGUUGGAUAAAGUUUUCUUUUUUCUGAAGACUACUAAAGCCAAAUAACUAGAACACGGGAUUGACCCUCAGCCUGAUUCUUCGAUUCAAACUAAGGCUCGGGGGCUACUCCAUAUGGAGUGCGAUUGUCAUCGCACUACCAUAUAAUUUCUCCAAGGUAGAAGUAACUCGAAGUAAAAACAGACGAAGAGUACCUUCCAGCCACACGACAGUAUUCGAGUACUCAAAGACAUUACAACCGCUGAACACUGGGAAUUACUCUGGUAGUGGCUUCUGAGUACUCGGAACUGUUCCGCUCGACUACAAAGUACUCGGGAGCUUGUCGGGCAUGCAUCCCAGGCCCACAAGUAGGUCCUGUGCGGUCCACUAAGGGGCGUGCUCGGACGUAAUCAAGGCUCGGGGGCUACGCGGCAAAGGAGCGUGGCCCACUCGAACUCCCGAAGACUAGUCAACAUACAUAUGGAAACUACUCUGUCUACACCGAGUAGAACUCUAUAACCGUAUCCGACUAGGAUUCUAGCCUGUAACCCUGCUCCCCCGAUCAUAUAAGGGCGAGCAGGGACCCCCCCUCAAAGACAACUCAUCCAAGUUCAAUACAAUCAACACACAGGACGUAGGGUAUUACGCGAUCUAGCAACCCAAACCUAUCUAAAUCGUGUUCCUUGCGUCACCAUCAACUCCUUGAUUCUCGACAACACCCACUGCACAAAAGACCACCUAGGGUACCCCCUAGGCGGGUUGCCGGUCUAAAACAUUGACAGUCAGGAGGAAGAAGACGUCUGAUUUAUAGGAGGGAAGUUUGUAACAGUUGGGGGCUCCAACCGGUACUAAAGGAGGUCCCGAGGGGCUCUUGGGGAACUAGCCGUUAGACCCGGUACUAAUGUGAGCAUUAGUACCGGGUCAAAAACUAACCGGUACUAAGUCUCGGAACGAAUGCUGAGUUUUCCAGUAGUGUCAGUAGCAACCAUGCAAGCAUGAUGAGUUUCUAUACUGUUGAUACCGUCAUGGAUCUUGUGAUCUCAAAGCCCCAUGCUAAGGGGGUGUUUGGAUAUCACCUGCUAAAGUUUAGCACCUGUCAUAUCGGAUGUUUGAUACUAAUUAGGAGUAUUAAACAAUGCUAAAUAUAAAACUAAUUGCACAGAUGGAGUCUAAUUCACGGGACGAAUCUAUUAAGCCUAAUUAGUCCAUGAUUUGACAAUGUGGUGCUACAGUAACCAUUUGCUAAUGAUGGAUUAAUUAGGCUUAAUAGAUUCGUCUCGCGAAUUAGACUCCGUCUGUGCAAUUAGUUUUGGGUCUGUUCGCUUCAGCUUAUUCAAUCGGCUUAUCAGCCACCAAAUAGUAUUUUUCUCUCACAACAAAUCAGCCGUUUCAGCUUUUCAGCCGGCUUAUAAGCUGAAGCGAACAGGCCCAGCUCAUGUUUAGUUCUCCUAAUUAGCAUCCGAAUAUCCGAUGUGACACUACUAAAGUUUAGCCCAUGGUAUCCAAUACUACUAGGUAUGUAUAAAAAAAAAGGCCCCCAUGCUAGCAUUGAACAAGCUGUAUCUACCGUACAUGGAACUGUUCCAUGGUCUCCUUUGAGGCAGUUCGAUUACGUGCUCGAUUCUUGUAGUACAUGACCAUGCUAGAUGGAUCUUCAGCGUAGACUGGUCACAUCGCCGGCUUUAAGGCGCAGCAGGAUCUUGAAAGGGAUAGAGAGUCAAUGGCACACUGCAUGUACAAGUGUCCCAAUGAGUAACAGGAAUCGGUAAAGUAGACAUGCAACGUAAAUUGACCUGGUUUUCUGGUUCGAGCGUCGAAUUGCUAGGCAUUGAGAUGGGGAUCGAAAUUGGGGCGCACAUAGGUUGAAAAUGCACCAACUAUUACAAAAGCACGAAAAUACUGUCUAAAAACUAAACAAAAUGGUACUGUAUCUAAGGGAUGACAUCUCAACAGAAGAAAUGAAGAGCCUUUGAAGGACUAGAAUCAAUCAUGGAUUGAGAAAUGAGAAUCAAAGUUGGUAAUUGUGCAGAUUGACUCAAUGCGCAUCAUGCAUGAUAGUCAUUAUCUAAACCAACAGCAUCAUGAUCGUACGUACGUGUGCUAGCUGUUUGAUAGUCAAUCAUGCAUGGGUUGAGAAUCUAAACGAAAAAAGGACACUGAUCGAAAAGGCUAGGUGAAGAUUGUUGAACGAAAUCAGUUGUGUGUACGGUUGUCGAUUUCUUAUUCCAAGAGACCAAGAAAGGAUUAAAGAAAAUCUCCUGCUUAUCUCAUCAUGCAACUAGUCAAGAACUGGAUUAGGAGAGAAGCGCUAAGCUAGGCGAGAGGGAAUAUGAUGCCUCUGAUUAAUUAUUUGCUUAACUGAUCUCUGCUGAAAUGCAAAUUCUGCUUCUUCCGGUUAACUCUGUACAAUCGUUGUUGGGCUUUGGGCCGCUUGCAGAGGAACGGCAAGGGGGAAAAAACUCAUCUUGGGUGCGGGAAUGAAUCACCAAAUACUCUUGGUGCAUCUACAGCGGCGGGAGUGCCAGUUCAAAUUGUUGUGUUCCACCUAUCACCAAAUACUCGUGCCACGGGCCAAAGAUGAGUUGCUUAUUGGUGGCUAAAGAACAAAAUACAGUUUUUUUUUCUGAAAGGCAGUCGUGAAGCCGGUUAGAAAGAGUUUCGACUCGUGCUCACAAUCUGGAAGAUUUGAACGGAGAGAAAUGACAGGAUUUGAGCAUGACAAGCUAGUUUCUGUAAAUGUCGGGUUCUUGGUUGAAUUCAGCUCGCAGCUUGUUACUUUACAGGUGUAGCAUCCUUGUUCUUGUCAUCCGAUCCUAUCGGUCUAGCUGGCCAGAUUGUGAAGCCUGAUCGACGACAAGACAAUUGAGCUAUAAUUGCUUGAUACCAGUUGAGGCUGUCGCAUCGGUUAACCUUGGUCCAGUCACCUGAACAUGUCACGGCACAUCAACAUGAUGGUCAUGCGCAGUAGGGAGAACCAAUGUAAAAGUACGCCGUGCCAUGCAUCCAAUGCCAACAUGUUGAUAUUCUCUGAAGCCUGUUUGGUAGAGCUUUACCAACAGCUCCACCAACCGCUUCACCCGAAGCCCUACCAAAGGCAUACUUGCAAAACGGCUUCAAGGCCGGAGCCUAACCAGAGCCGGAGCCGAAAAUGCAGUGGGGAGACGGAGCCCAAAAAACUCCUCCGGCUCCUCCUCCGUCCCCGCAUGCAGCAGUACGCAGCUACCCCUCAAGCUUGCAAAUAUUACAAGGAAAAAUGCCAUCCUGUGCCCCGCGGCCUGUACCUUCAUUCUCCGUCAAGGCCGGUCUGCUGUAGAUGCUGCGCGGGGUCGCCAUGGACGUCGUCAUGCCGGAGCAAGCGCGCACGUCGCCGUGGAGGCCGAGGCCUGCGCCGUCAUGACAUUGGAGCGAGACAGCGAGUCCCCGUCUGCAUCCACGCGCAGGGGGCGCACUGGCCUGGAGGCUUGCCGGCGGCUUUGAUGCAUGGGUGCGAGCCGCGGGCGCCUUGACCGGCAUGGGAGCAGCUAGGCUAGGAAGCGACGAGCUGGAGCGGGCCAUUGCGGCGAGGCAGGAGCGUGGCUGCGGCAGAAUGCAUUGCGGGUCGGAGCAGAUAAGGCAGAAAAGAGCGGCGGCAACGGCAGGAUAGACCGAGUGAAAAAAGAUGCGUUGGGAGCAAAAACGAGAUGAAGCUAGGGGUACCAUAUGAAACAAAAGAAAAGGAUGGGUUUAUCUAUAAUUCUAUUCUUUAAUCAACUCAUUUAUAUUUUUUUUAUUUCACGUGGAAUCACAUUAAAAAUUGAGGGAAAAUAUAAAUUUUUAUGUACAUCGUAGACGAAGGGCGCAUUGGAUAUUUGACAUCUUUUAUAUAUUUGUAAAAAAUAGGAGAAGUCAUUUUACCAAAUAUUUCUUAAAAUGACCUAGAGAAGCUGCUCCACCAAAAAAACCCGCAAUCAAAGCUAUUUUGGAAGGAGCCGGAGCUUUGCCAAACAAGCCCUCUGUCUAGUCUGUCUACAGUAACAUCCUCCUGUUUGAGGGGAAAGAAGAUUUGAAAAUGUAUCUAAAAAUGUUACAUAACGCCACGAAAUUUGAAAAGCAGAUUCCACGUCCAUUUGAACUACAUAUACGUAAUAUAGGUAUACAUAGUGAAUAAUGAAUGCAAUUCAACAACGUAUUCAGGCAUGCUCUUGAGUACAUUUACUUUUGUACUGAAUUUUCCAUUGCGCUCGGUUAGGUUUCAUGUAGUACGUACAACCUGCCCACCCAACUUUAAAUAUCCAACUCAGCAUAUACAUUCUCAUUUUCAGCUUAUUAUUCCAAUUAGAGGUGGCGUGCCUAUAGCGACUCCACUCUGGUCUAUAAAGGAGUUCAUAGAGAUAGAGUUUGCGUGCAUGCAUUUACAGGUGUAAGUGCGCGUGCACGUACAUGAGUGUUUUGUCUUUUAGAAAAGAAAUUCAUGGAUAGUAUUUAUGAUUUUUCCCUCGCGUAUUCCAGGCAUUUUUCCUAUUGCAAUAGUUUGUUUAUUCAAUGUUUUAUAACAACUAUUUUUUCUUGUAUUGUUGUUGAUGUAUAUUUAAAUUUAAUUAAUAUCUAUUGCGCUUCUAAGAACUAUUUGUUCAUUCUAUGUUUUUUUUAGACCAUUUGUUCAUUCUAUGUAGGCAUACACCCACUUUUUUCGGGCCGAUGCAACUGAACUCGGAGAGCCCACCUUGCUUGUUCGACUAAUAGCAGCCCAGGUGACACCGGCCCAAACAAACUGCCGUGCACAAUAUUCCUUCCAGGAGGGGAAAUCCCAGUUCUCAGAAGAUUCGGCCCAAACACACUGCGGAGCACAUUCCUUCCCGGAGGAUCCCAGUUCUCAGAAGAUUCGGCCUCCCACGGGCAGCAGCCAUCCCGCACCGGUGUAAGCGCCGCCGCCGGCAGAAACGCCCCCGAUCUCGACGAGAGCGCGAUGGCGCUGACCAACUUCAUCGUGACGGUGGCGGUGGUGGGCGCGGGGGUGCUCCUCUUCACCACCGACAUCCGCAGGUCCGGCGCCCUCUUCCGCCGCAACGCGCGCCAGCUCCGCCAGUGGCUCGAGGAGGACACCGCCUCCGCCGCGUCCAAGUAAGCCGCUUGCGCGCCGUGCGCCAGCCCCUUCCCUUCUUGCUUGGCGCCGUUAUCUGCUAUGCUUCGUGUGAUUUGGAUGGAAUGCGAGGUUAAUUGCUCCGGAUUCUCUUAGUAUCGAAUUCGGUGUCUAGGUUUAGGGGUCAUUUCAGGAUCGAAUUGUGCAGAUGGCAAAGUUGGCAACUACCCAAUUUUCUGAUAUUGGAGUGCGCUGAGAGCUUAAUGCAUUGAAAAAUAUGUCCGUUGCUGAACGAUGUGAAGUUGUUUGUUCUAUUAGAAGAUUGAGAAUUUGGAAUGGCUUUUUGACUGGCGGAUUGUAGUAUGAUUGUUGCACAUUGUCUGGGUAAUCAUGGUUUAAUAAUUACUUUAGUGGUGGAUCAGAACUGUAAUGAGAUGAGGACCAAGACGGUUUUGGUGUAUUUUGCAAUCCCUUUGUGGGAAUCUGUGUGGUGUGUUGGAAUUUGGAAGCAUAGCACAUCUCAUUACUGGGUUUUAGAAAGGAAGGAUGAUCUACCCGGAAAAAAACAAAGAAGAUUGGUCUGAAGUAUCUUUUUUGAAUCAACAUGGUUUAAGUUUAAUUGCUGGCCAGUGCCAAUGAUUUUCCCUAUCAAAUUCCUUGUGACUCCAUCUAAUUUGUGAUUGUACAGUGUUCUAAUUGGACUUAAGUUUUUAUUUUCGUGUGGAGAUUCACAUUUUUUUGCCACUUUACCUUAUUAGUGGUAGCCAUCCAAUUAACAAGUACCUCAUACUACACCAAUGCUAAUUGAUACUAGUUAGGCUUGGGCUUUAUUUGAGACAGCUAAUGCUGGGUACAGCUUGGGUUGGGCCAAGGGUUUGACGCACCAUUUGGUUCUGGACAAAUCACCAUCGAUAUGUGCAUGCUGGCACUUACGAAAAGAAAGAGCAAUUCAUCUCGUAUUGCCUUAUGAGAAUCUAUAGAUAUAUUGAACUUCCUGUUUUUAUCACAUUCCGAAUUAUGCAUCUGGAAUAUGUCAAAACAUUACACUCUGAAAUCUGAAUACAUCGACAUGUGUGUAAUGUAAUACUACUUGCAGAUUUUACUAGCCCCACCAGAGAGUGAAUUCCAGUUACCUGUGUAACUUAUAGCUAGAGUUGCUUAAACCAGUCUGAAAAUGUGCAUCUUAGUGAGUAUUGCCUAAUCAUUGUGAAACUGUUGUAUGAUGUAGCUUUGGUGUUUGAAAGAAUCAAUGCCUUUGCAGUAGCAUAGCAUGGAGUGAAUUUUCCUAAGUUUUUUUGCUUUUAACCUGGUUACCAAGAAGAUCCAUACUACUUGAACUGACAUAAUAGUCGAUGUGCAUAGUACUUUUUUUUUCAGUUUUUAGUGAGUACCAGGAUGCUUUCUGCUUGUGCUUUGUUUCCUUGCAUAAAUCAAACAACGCUGCAGGUCUGCAAAAGAAGGAGCUCCAAAGAAACUUGACUCGACGAUCCCCAAGGAGAAGCCAAAGGAAGACAAUCACUGAUUGGAGUUGUUUAUGUUAAUGGUAUAACCUUUCUUAAAAAGUCCAAGGCUCUUUUACAAGUACUGUGAUAGAAACUUGUAGUGCCUAAGUAGAUGCACGGUGAAAUUAUGUUUCCAUUUGAACAGCAGUAUAUUAGGUCUCUGUGGAGCAGCGAAACGAUGUUCUUGAGUUCUGCUUGUAAGGAUAUAAAGCUCUCUUAGCUAAUACUACAUGCGUGCUGGUAAUUUUGGUGUUUUGAUGCCUUAUCCAGUAAAACAGACAUAAUUGUUUCCACAUGUGACGCGCUUUUUCAGUCUGCCAUUUUACUUUCAGCAACAUCAUAGCUAUUUGAUUCCUUCUAAUUAAACAUUGUUGCCAGGUCUAGGUUCUAUUUUAGCACAGUAGCCCAGAUCCUGAUAUCACUGCAUAGUUAUUUGAGAAAUGGUUUCAGAUAUCACCAAUGUUUCAUAAUGUAAUUCUGGCAAGAACAAAGUCAAAGCUCGUGUUUCGCGAAAGCUUUGUUUACGGGCAAACCAUCCAUGGUAAUUCUUCCUAUGUGUGUGUAUAUUUUUGGCCUUUGCGCUUCAGAAUAUAACCCAAAUCGCUGAACUAUUCUGUUACACCUGUAAUACAAAUUUGGUUGGUGUUACUGUGCUGACAAUUUUUGCAUCGCCUGUUCAAUCGGAAGCAUUGGGAGCAGACCUUCAAUGAAGGAGACAUGCUUUUGAAUGCAACCUGUUGUGAAGUGCUCAACCAGCGUCCGAAACCUUGAGCCUUGUUUAGCCUAUGAGAUCUACUGUUACACAUUUCUCUAUACAGAAACAUUAUCAACGAAGUUAGAUGCCUAUUUGGACAUUUGGUGACCAGCAUGCACUGGUCAGUACUGCUUGCCUAAAGAAAAUCGACCUCUGAUCUGAUGGAAGUGACGUCACCUGCGACAGCUACCGGAUCGUCCGGCUGGACGGGUCCAUCGAUUGGUGGGAGAGGUGAGGCAGCGCCCGUACCCCAAGGCUUGGCUUGGUUGCAAGUUGCAAAGAAACAAGGUGUAGCAUCACGCCAUCAUCCAGUCAGGUGGUAGUAGCCAUCACAUCCAUCUCCGGUGGUGUUGAUGCUCCGAUGCCGCGCGAGAGGGACGUGGAAUCGCUACCUCUUCACCGGAGGUGUUGCAUUAGCAUCCUUGGGCGCCAUGGACGGCGCGCCUGACAAGUUGGUUGUUGGUUCGGUUAGGUUCGCAAUCAUCGUGCGGUCGCGGCCCUCGCAAAUCAUCGCGUGCGACGAGACCCGUCGGGCCACAGGAGUGCGUGGUUGGCACAGCGAAUCUGAGGAAAUCGUGCCUUGUCGUUCAGAGCCGGGCAAGCGGUUGGGUUGACGACGAGUCGACGGGCGACGCGGAAAUGGAAAGACUGAGCAGGGGCGCUCUGCUCUUCGUCAGAGGUAGCAUCAUCAGUGCUCAGGUUGUGAGACAUGUCACUGGAUGCGUCCUUGAGUUUGACUAAUACUACCAGAUGGCAGCUUCACUUCAGAACUGAAGCGCUGGCAUGAGUGAUCUCGUAGUCAGAGAAGCUGCUGUUUGGCAUUCAUUAUACCCGUGCCUCUCCCACGAUGCCCCGGCGCCCAGAGUAGGCUUGCACAUGGACACAGUGCCAUCGUACACGUUACGUUAUAGUGUAAUAACAGAGGACAUGUCACUUCGCAGGAUCAAGGACAUGUUAAUUAACCCUAACCCCCAGCCCAGGUGUUUAGCGUGCGCGUUGAGCUCCAAACCACCCCCCCCCCCCCCCCCCCACACACACACACCCACACCCACACACACACACACACACACACACACACACAAGGCACGGUUCCAUUUCCCAGUCGACAACCAAUCCCUCCGGCGCCUCGACCAUCCAACCAUCGUCUGAUUCGCUGUCCGAGCCCGAACGAGGGCGAGAGGCCCGCGCCGAUGGUCCCUGGCACCAAUCCCCCUCUCGGCAUCUCCCCGGCCGCAUUGAUGGGACGGCUGCUCCUCCUCUCCUCUGGCAACAAAUCUACUGGCGCGCGCGCGCGCGCACGCGUCCCUCUCCGCCCGCUCGCCCCCGUCGCCGCGCCGAUCGCCCCGGGGCACCCAACCCAACCACCAUUUCCCGCAUUUAACCGCCCAACCACGGCCGUGCGGUUCGCGCGCGCGGCGGCCGACGGCGCACCGCCACGGCGCCACCCUCACCAGUCGCCGCACCUCCUCUCCAGCGAUCGCGCCUGCUGCCUGCCUGUGCGAUGCGGCAGGUAACCAACCAACGGACGGACGGUCCUGAUUGAUUGGGCUCUCGGCUCUCCCACCGCGCGUACGCUAGCUCUCGGCGUGCGUGCUGGCGUGCUGCCACGGCCCGGCUACCUGCUGCUGCCCUGUUCCUUUCGCCGUUUUCCGCUGCUGCACUUGCGUUUUGGCCUCUCACGGGUCGCACGGAGGGAAGCGAAGAUUUUGCUAGUGAAGGGAGGGCGGUGGCUACCUACCAAUCUACGAUUAGUUGUGUGGAACCCACGUGUCGUUUCGUUACGGGUUGCUGGCUUGCCUUCCAAAAGAAACAAAAACGUUAUGGCUUUGUUUGCUUGAUUUUCUUGCUUGAUUAGUUAGGACAACUAGUUAGCCUCUGAAACAUGGGGAAUUUGUAGGAAACCAAUAUGAGAAUACUGUAUAGUAUCGUUUUGUGCCAAAGUUCAUGAGCUCGAAGCACAGUUGAGUUCACUUGGAUGUGGUACGAACACAUACCUGGCGUAAAACUUAUGACUUUAGCAUUCUAUUGAAUGGAAUAGAAAGUCAAUCUCAUUCUCGAGUGUUUGUAUACCGCCUACCAUCCAAUCCGCCGGCUACACCUUUUCGUGAGGGGUUGUGAUUAAGUGGUGAUGUGGAUACCCAAUCGACCAGGUCUCCUUUCGGUGAUGGUAUCUCCAAUGUUAGCGGUACGUUUCUUGUGGAAGUGGCAUCUAAGACACGUGCUUUAUUGGACGUAUAAUCCAGAAAACGAGAGCAAUCCUUGCAGAAAAGACCGACUGUCAAUUUGAUGGGCUCUAAUAAUUAUUGGGAAUGAUAACCAUUGAAAAAAUUAUCAAAACUACCCCAAUAUAUUAUCAUAAAGCAUCUACAUCUUCUCUUACAAAAAUAAAUCCAAAGUCCCAUGAUGACAAAUCGAUUUUGCCAUUAUGAAAAAUUAACCCAAAGAGUCCAUUUACCCGUUUUCUAGAUUACCUGCGUUUACUAUUACAGCAAAACUAAUAAAAGUGUGACUACUUUUUUGCAACAUAGAAAUUAAAAAUUUACCUAAAAUAUCUGACUAUCACCAUAUAUAGAAAUUAGAAAUUUCCCAAGACCAAAGGUGUCGAGUCUUCCAGAUGUACUGAACAUGAUUUGUGGUGUUUUACGUGGAUUUGGAAAAGAAGCUCCGAGCCAGCCCCGACAUGGCAUCAAUAGGUUUCCCCAAAAGAUGGGGCAGAAGAAAAGAGGCACGCACAAUUUGCACGUACAUGCCAGCCAACUAUGUGGCCACACUUGUACUGGGGUACAUGUUCCUCUUUGGCUUGUAUAGCAUUGCAUAUAUCUGAGCAUAUACAUGCUAUAUGUAUCCCAAUAUUUACCAAUAUAUGUAUUUACGUAUGCAUGUAUGUUUCUCAUCUUAUGUUUAGUUACAGAGAGGGAAAGAAAAAUGAGUACAAGAAAAAAUUGGUACACCAGAACCAAAAACGGGCAAAUGCAAAACAGAGAACAAAAAAAGUGUGGCUAAACAAUUAUACACUUCCUAUCUUCCUUUGCUGUAUACAAAUUAAUUAUCGGCCUUAACCCCCCCAACAAUAAUGCCUAACAAAAGGAAUUAAUCUGCUAGCUAAGUAAAUUAAGAAUCAUCUGGGAAGAAGAAGAAGACGAAGAAGGAGGAGGAGGUUUGUGAUGAUCUCAUAUUCAUAUAUCCCAUCCCAUGCAUCACCAGCUCCAGGCACCAUGCAAAUUUUCUCUCUCUAGAUAGAUGCUCAUCUCUCUCUCGGUCUACCUCCCUCUCUCUCUCUCCCCUCUGGUUACUGCGCUCUCUCUCUCUCUCUCUCGCUCUCUCUCUCUCUCUCUCUCUCUCUCUCUCUCUCCCCCCUCGGUGCUAUUCCAAAUGCAUGAUCCGCGCAUGCAUGAGCCAUGAAAGGUGAUGUGGCGAUGUGUAAGCAUCAACAACCGCUGUAGUCUGUCAAGGAGAACCGGCCGGCGCCGUCGGGCCCCGCGUUGCCGGCGCCGGCGUGCUGCAAGCCCAGCGUCAGCGACACGUCGCCGGCGGCCGCGCCGGUCGCGCCGGGCCCGUACCGCAUCCUCACCCCGGGCUCGAACCGCCCGUACAGGUCGUCAGCGCCGCCGCCUACGUGCGCGUCGCCGCCGAGGAGCUCCACCGGGUCGAUCCCGACGAAGGCCGCGUCCGCCGCCGAGGGACCCGCGGCGCCCGGGUCGGGCUUGUGCGGCAUCAGGCCGGGCGCCGCGGUGCCGUGCUGCUGCUGCUGGAGCUGCGCCGCGCCGGUGGUGGUCGGGGAGUGCGUGUCGUCGGCGCCGGAGGGGUCGUUGCCGGACUCGGGCCCCCCGCCGCCGGCCGAGGAGCCCUCGAGCUCCCUGCACUCCUGCUGGUACAUCUCCUCGAUCAUGGGCUUCCAUAGCCGGACACGGGCGUUGAUGAACCAGUUGGAGACCUGGAGUUGAUCCAAAGGAAAGCAAACAAAUUAUUGCAGGGUACAGGGGUCCAUGCACGGCCUGUGGUGCCAUGCGUGCAUGCAUGCUGCAGGGACGUAUAGAGCUACUAGCUAGGUACUAGCUUAUCUAGCUAGCUACCCGGCCCUCACUGUCAUGUUUCAGUGUUAUCCUGCCGUUGUCUUGUUUGGUUUGUGUCCAAUGUUUUGGAUCUAGCUACUUCUUUUGUAAAUAGCACAGACUUGUCUUGUUUUGAUUUCUUAGUAUGUACCAUAUGUUUCUGCACAUGGUUAAAGUAAAAGAGCUAGUAGUGCAUAGAGUAAUUUGCCAUGCAUGGUUAUACAUUCAUAUAUAAUACUCCUAGCUAGCAUACAUGGGUUUAAAAUGUUCAUGCACUGUUAAUUUCGUCUUACAGUUCAUGAAUUUUUAGAUGAGAAUCCAUAUACUCUAGUUUGAUCUCUCAAGUUCCAUUUACCAUAGUUUUGGGUGUGAAUUUCAACACUGAC
RNAcentral lists this long non-coding RNA (45927 nucleotides) under Setaria viridis. The record is from RNAcentral. Lineage: Eukaryota; Viridiplantae; Streptophyta; Magnoliopsida; Poales; Poaceae.